Molecule: long non-coding RNA, 70819 nt
Filed under: Theobroma cacao (cacao)
Lineage: Eukaryota; Viridiplantae; Streptophyta; Magnoliopsida; Malvales; Malvaceae
Description: long non-coding RNA (TCAC_LNC004624)
Rfam family: Plant small nucleolar RNA R71 (bases 63923-64029)
Source: RNAcentral
UUGGAGGCUGCAAAUUGACUUGAAAAAUAUAUAUUUUCCUAGGAAUGGCUUAUGAGAAAUGAGUAUAUGUGGCUAUAUUUUGUGAGUGCAUUGGGAAAUUUAUGUAAGUUGUUUUUACUAUGCAGGCUGGAUAAAUAAAUAAAAGCCACGUUAUACUGUCGAAAUUUUAUUAAAAUUGGUGGGUUAGUCACUGCAGUGACGGGUUUCCGUGGACUGCCUAUUAGAGGGGCACGGUAAACCCAGUUAUAUAGUUACUCCGGUUGUAGAGGCGAGGAGGGUAACUCCCGGGGUAGUAUUAGAGCUCACUUCACGUCGAACCCCCACGUGAAUGUGUAACUCGGCCAACGCCAAGGAACGGCUGGUUUUAAAAAUAAAAAUGUGUUUCACGUGUGAAUAUUUUAACACCCUUGGCGGACUCGGUUAGAUGCCUCGGCCAAGGUAUCCCCGAGGAUUAGUUUUGGCUUGAGCCUUGUUUUAAUAAAAGACAUAAGCCUUAACAACUGUUUUGGUAAAUUACAAAUAUUUUAUGGUUUAAGAAAUAAAUUGGAAACAUUAUGAAAUGGGUUGAAAUUUGUUGUUUAAACUUGCCUCCAUUUUACUCGCCUUUAGAUAUUUAUGAUAAUGUCUGUUUACUUAUUAGGAUUGCAAAAUCUCACCCAACUCCUUUCCACCCAUUUCAGGUUCAGUAUAGACAGUAGAUAGCUGAUCUCAUCGAGGACUACCAUUGGAUCUACAUUUUCCAAACCGUAAGUUCACAGUCCUCUUUACUUUUGUUUAUUCGGGGGCCCUCUUGUUAUUGUAAAUUAAAUUAAAUAUUUUGGCUUACUGUAUUUCAGUAUGUAUAAAUUUAUUUAGCUUUUACGCUAUAAAAAUUAUUCACGUAUAACUCUAUAAAUAUUGUUUUAUAAGAAAAUAGAAUAUUACCCUUAAUAUUUCUUUUAUUUUCUUAUUAUAUUCAAAUAACCGUAAUUUCGUUUUAAAUGAAGAUUUUAGACUUUUAAACUCAUUUUGAAUAUGAAUUAUGUGUUUUGUACUUGUAUAUUACGUUUUAGCCAGUUUCAAAAUUUUUGAGAAAAAAGGACCAAAAUACCCCUAUGUGGCGAAAAUUUUAUUUUGAUUGUUUUUGAUCUAAAAUAGUGUAUAUUCUCUAAAAACUCGAUAUUUAACAACGAUUGCUCACAGGAAAGGAAAGAAACUGAUAUGUAAGCCUUACAGGGUUCCGGUUGGCAUUCCGGAUAAUGAGUGUCAAUUAGGACGUCGUGGCGAUUAUCAUGGGCCUGAGGGAGGUUCCGGGUCAUGACAGCAGGAAUACUAGUAGGUGGUGGAGGAAGUGGAGGAUGGGGAGGAGUCUCGGCCUGUUCAGCAGUAGGCGCUGGCUGAAAAGUGGAUGCAACUGAUUCCCCCUCUACUGGAUCUAGUUGACGAUGUUGGGAAUGACCUCUUCCCCUCCCAACCGAUCUAGUGAGAGGUGGGCAUUCACGUCGAGGAGGCAUGGUGAUCUAUAAAAAGAAGCAAAGCAAGUUUAAACAACCUUAAGUUCUAUAUGCAGAUGCAUGCAUGCAACUCAACUUAACCUAACUUAACUUGGGGCCACACUGACACUGUAAUUUUUAAAACAACUUUAAAUCCAAAAGCUUUGAUAUCAACUGAAUUGUCAUGACCCGAUACUCUCCUCGAGCCUGUGACAACCGCCGUAAUGUUCCUGAUAGACAUUCAUUACUCGGAAUGCCAACCGAAACCCUGCAAGGCUUUAAUAUCAGUUCUCUCACCUCCCCUGCGAGCAACGGUUGUUAAUAUCAUAUUUUAAAAGAUUAUAAGCUCUUUCCAAACCAAAACAAUAAAAAAAUAAUUUUUGUCUCACAGGGAUAUUUUGGUCAUUUUUCCCUAAAAAUUUCGAAACCAUCUAAAAAUGUAGUAUAGGAGUGAAAGAUACAUAUUUCAUAACCAAAAAUAAGUUUAGAUGUCUAAAACAUUAAUAUAAAGUAAAAUGAUAGCUAUUAGAAUAAAAUAAAAAUAUUAAAUAAAAUAUUCCAUUUUCUUAUGAAACAAUUCUUAUAGAGAUAUCCGUAAAUAAUUUUUGUAGUGUAAAAGCAAAAUAAAUUCGUACAUACAGUAACACAGUGAGCUAGAGUGUGUAAUUUAAUUUACAAUGACAUGUGGGCCCCCUUGAAUGACCAAAAGUAAUGAAGGCUGCGAACCUACAAUUUUUGAGGAUGCAAAUCCAACUAUAGCCUUCGUCAAAAUCAGCUAUCUACAGACUAUCCUGAGCCUGAAAUGGGUAGAAAGGAGGGUGGUGAGUUUAUAUAAACUCAGUGAGUAAACAAACAUCAUCUAAAAUAUAUAAAGCCGAGUAAAUGGAGACAACUUAAAAUAGUUCAUCGUACUAUGAUUCAUAACGUUUCAAACUCAUUUCAACUAAAUAAAAUAAUUUCAUUUCACUCAAAUAAUCAACAUGGCUUAUGAAUUUCUUAAAAAUUUGGCUCAUGCCAAAACUCAUUCUCGGGGAAACCUUGGCCUGAGCAUCUAACCGAGUCUGCCAAAGCUAUUAAAGAAAAGUUCAUAUACGCAUAAAACUCAUUUUUACGUUUAAAAGCAUAGUCGUUCCUUGGCGUUGGCUGAGUUCACUCUCACGUGGUGGUUUAGCGUGUAGUGAACUCUAAAGCUUUACCUCAGAGUUUACCGUUGUCACGACCCUUCGCGCCUCUCGUACCGAGGAAAAUAUAAUGGGGUUUACCGUUGUCACGACCCGAAACCUCCCCCGGGCCCAUGACAACCGCCGCGACGUCCCAAUUGACACUCAUUACCCGAAAUGCCAAUCAGAACCCCGCAAGGCUUACAUAUCAAUUUCUUGCCUUUUUUGUGAGUAAUCGUUUUUAAACAUUCCAUUUUAAACAAUUUCCAGUAGUUUUCUGCUCAAGUAAAUCAAAGGAUAAAAAUAUUUUAAAAGGAUUUUUAGAUACAUAUCACUAUUCAAAAUAUUGAUUAAAAUAUAGCAUUUUUUUAUAUAAAACAAUAUUUAUAGAAACACGUGUAAGAAAUCUUUUGUAACGUGUAAGUAAAAUAAAUUCACACAUACAAAAAUUUACAAAGUUAUAAUGUACAAUAAUGGUUACAAUGACAAGUGGCCCAAAAUACACCCAGUGUUNNNNNNNNNNNNNNNNNNNNNNNNNNNNNNNNNNNNNNNNNNNNNNNNNNNNNNNNNNNNNNNNNNNNNNNNNNNNNNNNNNNNNNNNNNNNNNNNNNNNNNNNNNNNNNNNNNNNNNNNNNNNNNNNNNNNNNNNNNNNNNNNNNNNNNNNNNNNNNNNNNNNNNNNNNNNNNNNNNNNNNNNNNNNNNNNNNNNNNNNNNNNNNNNNNNNNNNNNNNNNNNNNNNNNNNNNNNNNNNNNNNNNNNNNNNNNNNNNNNNNNNNNNNNNNNNNNNNNNNNNNNNNNNNNNNNNNNNNNNNNNNNNNNNNNNNNNNNNNNNNNNNNNNNNNNNNNNNNNNNNNNNNNNNNNNNNNNNNNNNNNNNNNNNNNNNNNNNNNNNNNNNNNNNNNNNNNNNNNNNNNNNNNNNNNNNNNNNNNNNNNNNNNNNNNNNNNNNNNNNNNNNNNNNNNNNNNNNNNNNNNNNNNNNNNNNNNNNNNNNNNNNNNNNNNNNNNNNNNNNNNNNNNNNNNNNNNNNNNNNNNNNNNNNNNNNNNNNNNNNNNNNNNNNNNNNNNNNNNNNNNNNNNNNNNNNNNNNNNNNNNNNNNNNNNNNNNNNNNNNNNNNNNNNNNNNNNNNNNNNNNNNNNNNNNNNNNNNNNNNNNNNNNNNNNNNNNNNNNNNNNNNNNNNNNNNNNNNNNNNNNNNNNNNNNNNNNNNNNNNNNNNNNNNNNNNNNNNNNNNNNNNNNNNNNNNNNNNNNNNNNNNNNNNNNNNNNNNNNNNNNNNNNNNNNNNNNNNNNNNNNNNNNNNNNNNNNNNNNNNNNNNNNNNNNNNNNNNNNNNNNNNNNNNNNNNNNNNNNNNNNNNNNNNNNNNNNNNNNNNNNNNNNNNNNNNNNNNNNNNNNNNNNNNNNNNNNNNNNNNNNNNNNNNNNNNNNNNNNNNNNNNNNNNNNNNNNNNNNNNNNNNNNNNNNNNNNNNNNNNNNNNNNNNNNNNNNNNNNNNNNNNNNNNNNNNNNNNNNNNNNNNNNNNNNNNNNNNNNNNNNNNNNNNNNNNNNNNNNNNNNNNNNNNNNNNNNNNNNNNNNNNNNNNNNNNNNNNNNNNNNNNNNNNNNNNNNNNNNNNNNNNNNNNNNNNNNNNNNNNNNNNNNNNNNNNNNNNNNNNNNNNNNNNNNNNNNNNNNNNNNNNNNNNNNNNNNNNNNNNNNNNNNNNNNNNNNNNNNNNNNNNNNNNNNNNNNNNNNNNNNNNNNNNNNNNNNNNNNNNNNNNNNNNNNNNNNNNNNNNNNNNNNNNNNNNNNNNNNNNNNNNNNNNNNNNNNNNNNNNNNNNNNNNNNNNNNNNNNNNNNNNNNNNNNNNNNNNNNNNNNNNNNNNNNNNNNNNNNNNNNNNNNNNNNNNNNNNNNNNNNNNNNNNNNNNNNNNNNNNNNNNNNNNNNNNNNNNNNNNNNNNNNNNNNNNNNNNNNNNNNNNNNNNNNNNNNNNNNNNNNNNNNNNNNNNNNNNNNNNNNNNNNNNNNNNNNNNNNNNNNNNNNNNNNNNNNNNNNNNNNNNNNNNNNNNNNNNNNNNNNNNNNNNNNNNNNNNNNNNNNNNNNNNNNNNNNNNNNNNNNNNNNNNNNNNNNNNNNNNNNNNNNNNNNNNNNNNNNNNNNNNNNNNNNNNNNNNNNNNNNNNNNNNNNNNNNNNNNNNNNNNNNNNNNNNNNNNNNNNNNNNNNNNNNNNNNNNNNNNNNNNNNNNNNNNNNNNNNNNNNNNNNNNNNNNNNNNNNNNNNNNNNNNNNNNNNNNNNNNNNNNNNNNNNNNNNNNNNNNNNNNNNNNNNNNNNNNNNNNNNNNNNNNNNNNNNNNNNNNNNNNNNNNNNNNNNNNNNNNNNNNNNNNNNNNNNNNNNNNNNNNNNNNNNNNNNNNNNNNNNNNNNNNNNNNNNNNNNNNNNNNNNNNNNNNNNNNNNNNNNNNNNNNNNNNNNNNNNNNNNNNNNNNNNNNNNNNNNNNNNNNNNNNNNNNNNNNNNNNNNNNNNNNNNNNNNNNNNCUUACACUCCAAAAAUCACCAAAAUUAAACUUUUUCACUUCCUAUCGUUAAAUUAUACUCCAAAUAGUUAAUCUUGGUCAAAAAUUUCACUCCAUGAUCAAAUUAUUAUCUUAGGUGGCAAAAUGACGAUUUUGCCCCUAAACAUCAAAAUUUUCAAUUUUACCCCUAAUGAGCCCUCGAACUCCGAACAAUCAUUUUGAAUAAUUCCUUCACUAUAAAAUAUUCAAUUUCAUCCUACGAUUCCUAUUUGAACUAGUUCAAGGUUAAAUCAACUCAAGUGUACGGGUUAGGUACAAUACAGGGUUUCGUCUAUUCUUAGAUGCUUUCCUAGCAUAAUAACAUGUUACUCAGUGCAUGUAUGUCAUGACAUGUGUUUAUAGGGUCGGGUUUUACAACCGUGCCCUUCUAAUAGGAUGGUCUAUAGAAACUAGCCCACUGCAGUAAGCUAAUCGAUAUCCUACCAAAUCAAUAAAAGUUUUGAUAAUAUGACAUGGCAAUUAUAUUACACUCCAGCUUGUUAAGGCAAAACAAAUAGUUCAUACAAUUUCAACACAAUUUCCAAUUCAGCCAUUCAUGCCAAUAUCACCAUAAGCCAUUCAAUUCAAACCAUAAAUUUACAACACAAACAAAUAGUCUCCAAUUACUCAUUUUCUAAAAUCAUCAUUCAAUUUUAAAAUGAUUUAUAAAACUCAUCUCAUUUAAUCACAUUUUACUUAUAAAACAUAAGGAUUUACCAUUUAAACUCAUUUUUCUAUAAAAUCACAAAAAUGAAUAAAAACUACUUUAGAUAAUUAAGACGAUAAUAAGAUUACUCACGAUAUCGGGAGUUCGAAAUACUCCUAUUCUUGGUCCUCUGGCAUAAUGUCUUUACCCUUGUUAGAAGACUCACCACCUAUACACAAUACACUACAAAUAAUUCAAUAUAUUGUGUCAUGUCAUUAUAAAUCUAUUUCAAGCUUUAUAUGAAUGCAUGAGGUUGUUUGGAUAGUCACUUAAAGACGGUGUUACACGUUGGUUCAAUUAUGAUCGAAAUGGAUCGGUUUUCUACCUAAUUCGAACUCUCCACCUUUGAUUUAACCAAAACAUCCUAAUUGACUCCAAUUAUAUUCAUCACACUUCCAAUGUCCCAAAAUACACCAAAACGCCUCAAUGAGCUUGACUUUCUCAUUGUUAUUCAACUUAUUUACUAAAAGAACUAUACUUUAAAAUUACCAUUUUCGAUUUCCAUCACCACCAUUCAUUAAAUUCUAACUAAAUAACACAAGAUGUCACAAGAAUCAUCAUCACUAGGUUCCUUAUGAAAUUCGGCCAUGGGUGGGUGCAUAAACACUAUGAUUUUUCAUACUUGAUUUUUUUUACACCAUAAAUCAUUAGUUCCUAACCAAAUCACUUGAAAUAAAAUCAAAUCCACCAACAACAUACCAUAAGCAAGAUUCCGCCCAUGAGGGUGAUGGAAGAACAUGAAUUUUUCUUAUUUGCUUUUCAUGCUACACAUCACCAACCAACUAAAAACACUAGAAUAACAUGUUUUCCAACUAAAUUCAUCAUCAAAUCUUCUCUCCCUAGGUUCAGCCAACAAGGGAUCCAUCAUGAAAUCAUGAAUUUCAAUCAUGGAAAAUGAGAAAGAAUGCUUAGGAAAGAUAGAUCUCAAGCUAAAUUUGAAAAAUCUUACCUUUUGUCACUUGAUUCGUUGAAAUUCCACAAUUUUCUCUUGAAUUUUCUAGCUAGGGUUUUGUUCUUUCUUUCUUUCCUCUUUUCCUUGGUGAGGCCAAACAUAUGGGAGUGAAAUGGGAGAGUCAUGUGUUGAUUUUUAACGUAAAUUAUAAAGAAAUGGAAGCUUGCCACUUGCCACCAUUCCAUUGGUCCAUGUUUAACACUUAACAACNNNNNNNNNNNNNNNNNNNNNNNNNNNNNNNNNNNNNNNNNNNNNNNNNNNNNNNNNNNNNNNNNNNNNNNNNNNNNNNNNNNNNNNNNNNNNNNNNNNNNNNNNNNNNNNNNNNNNNNNNNNNNNNNNNNNNNNNNNNNNNNNNNUCCUUGGUGAGGCCGAACAUAUGGGAGUGAAAUGGGAGAGUCAUGUGCUGAUUUUUAAUGUAAAUUAUAAAGAAAUGAAAGCUUGCCACUUGUCACCAUUCCAUUGGUCCAUGUUUAACACUUAACAACUAAGCUUUCUUUCACCACCACAUAAAAUAUCUCAAUUAUCCAUAAUAUAAAAUGUUAAUGGAUGAAAUCCUUAGGCAUGACAAGUGUUGGGUGGUGUAAAAUUCCAAUUUUGCCCUUGGGUGGCAAAAUGACCAUUUUGCCCCUACGUCAUGAAAAUUCUAAUUUGACUCCAAAUCAAUCCUUGAACUCCCAAUCACCAUAUUAAGUCAUUUUGGGUUUUUAAAAUUCUCAAUUUCAUCUUAAAAUCUCUAUUUAGACUAGUUCGAGGCUUAAUUCAGCUUAGUUGUACCACUAGGUUCACUACCAAUUUUUAACGAUUUUUUUCGGGGCUUUCCAAGUGUGCAAACAUAUUAUCAAGCACAUGAAUGACAUGAAAAAUAUUUUAUAGAGUUGGGCUUGACAAAUGCUGUUAGUUUUUCUACUAUUCAAAAUUUGAAAAGUUCCCUCUAAACUUGGUUAUUUUCUUGGGCGAUUUUUCUUCUUUCUUUAUUCCCUGGUAAACACAUUCUUUUCAUUAUUUUAUUUCUUCUUCAUUUAACUGACUAAGUCUUAUUAUUUAAGAUGACAGAACACUCUUAGUUGACUAAGAUUCUCUUUAAUGGACUAAAUGCCUUCUGUUUUAUGUGUAGGAGUCAAAACUUUUUUUACAACUCUUACAUAUUAAUCAUCCCCAAGUUCCUUCUAAUCUCACAAAAUCUAUCUUUAUUUAGAGUUUUGGUAAAGAUGUCAGCUAAUUGAUGCAAAGUAUUCACAAAUUCAAUUUUAAUAUCACCUUUCACUGCAUGGUCUUUAACAAAAUGAUGCCUAUUCUCAAUGUGCUUAGUCUUAGAAUGCUGCACAAAAUUUUUUGAAAUGUUAAUUGCACUUGUAUUGUCACAAUAUAUUUGUAUAUUAUGUACUGUUAUUCCAAAAUCUCUUAGUUGUUGUUUUAUCCACAAAAUCUGAGCACAACAACUACCUAAGGAAAUAUACUCUACUUCAAUUGUAGAAAGUGCUACAAAAUUUUGUUUCUUACUUAACCAGGAUACUAGCAUACUUCUUAGAAAUUGGCAUGUUCCACUAGUGCUCAUUCUAUCGAUUUUGCUUCCUGCAAAGUCUACAUCCGAAUAGCCUACAAGAUUAAAUAAUGAUUCUCUAAAGUACCAUAUUCCUAAGGUUUUGUUUUUAAGAGGUAUCUAAAAAUUCUAUUAAUAGCAGUUAAGUGUGAUUAUUUGGGCUAUGGCUGAAAUCUAGCACACAAACACACACUAAACUGAAUAUUUGGUCUGCUUUCGUUAAGUAGAGUAAUGAUCCAAUCAUACCUCUAUACAACUUUUGAUCAACAAUUUUUCCUUUCUCAUCAGCAUCAAGUCUGGUCGAAGGACUCAUUGGUGUGCCAAUUGAUUUAAGCUUUAGCAUAUCAAACUUUUUGAUCAUGUCUUGAGUGUAUCUUUCUUGGUUGAUGAAGAUUCCUUUUUCACUUUGUUUGAUUUGAAGGCCAAGAAUGUACUUCAUCUCACCCAUCAUGCUCAUUUCAAAUUCCCCCUGUAUCUCUUUACUAAAAUUCUUGCAUAAAGCCUCAUUAGUUGCACCAAACACAAUGUCAUCCACAUAAAUUUGAACAACAAUUAAAUCAUUUAGGUAUCUUUUGAUAAACAAUAUUGUAUCAAUACUACCUUUAACAUAACCUUUUUCAACCAAAAAUUUUGAAAGCCUCUCAUACCAAGCUCUAAGAGCUUGUUUCAAUCCAUAUAAGGCUUUAUGAAGUUUGAAAACAUGAUCUGGUUUUUCAAAGUCCUCAAAACUGGAGGGUUGCUUAACAUAAACUUCUUAUUGGAUGAAACCAUGUAAGAAUGAACUAUUUACAUCCAUUUGGAAUAGUUUGAAGUUCAUAAAGCAAGCAAAUGCAAGUAGUAACCUUAUAGCUUUUAUCCUAGCAACUGGGGCAAAGGUUUCAUCAUAGUCUAUUCCUUCCUCUUGAUUGUAUCCUUGAGCUACCAACCUAGCUUUAUUUCUAACUACAUUCCCUCACUCAUCUACCUUAUUUCUAAACACCCAUUUAGUGCCAACAAUAGGGUGGUUUAAUGGUCUUGAAACUUGUAAAACCCGACCCUAUAAACACAUGUCAUGACAUACAUGCACUGAGCAGCAUGUUAGUACGCUAGGAAAGUCCCUAAGAAUAGACGAAACCCAGUAUUGUACCUAACGGUACACUUGAGUUGAUUUAACCUCGAACUAGUUCAAAUAAGAAUCGUAGGAUGAAAUUUAAUAUUUUACAGUCCAGGAAUGACUAAAAAUGAUUGUUCAGAGUUCGAGGGUUCAUUUGGGGAAAAAUUGAAAAAUUUGAUGUUUAGGGGCAAAAUCGUAAUUUUACCACCCGCGGACAAAAUUUGAGAUUUUGAGAGAAUUUAGAUCAAAUUUGACAAAUUGGAGAAUGGUAUGAAUAUAAGGGAUGAAAAAAAUAUGUCUAUGGGCAGUUUUUCAGUUUUUGGAGAAAAAAUGUAAUUUGACUUUUACGGGGGCAAAAGUGUAAAUUUCAAAAAUUACUCCACCAAGACUUUGGAUAAGUCUGAGAAUUUUAUCUAAGUUAUGGAUAUGUGGGACAAGUGUAUCGUGAAAGUUUAGACACAAAUGGAUGGCUAGAAUUUAAGGAAUUAAUAAAACAUUAAAAAAAUGAAUAAAAUAAUAUUAUAUUAUUUUAGCCUUUAAAAAGGUCAAAAUUCCAGAAUUCUCAUCUUCUUCAAGCCAUCCAAACCAGGAGAGAAAAGGGGGAAAAGAAAUAAGAACCCUAGCUGAAAAAUUUGGGGAAAAUCUAGAGAAAUCAAGAAAUCAAGCAUUAAAAAGGUAAAUUUCAUUGAUUUUCCUUGUAAUUUUCACUACCCAUGCAUUUUUUCUCAUUUUCAUGCAAAAUUAGAAAGUGGGUAUGGACACCCAUACUGGCCAAACCUCCAUGGAUGAGUUUUGAGCUUCCGUUUUGGUUGAUUUUAAUUGAAUUAAGUGAUUUUAUUUAGGUUAUAUUGUAAUAUAGCAAAAAUAAGCUAGAGAAAUAAUUUUCUCCCAUUAAAACCCAUUAUGCCGAAUUUUCCAAGGAGGAAAGUGAGCUGAUUUUGAUGAUUUUAGAAGGUUAUUGACUGAUAUUUAAUGGUUAGAAAUGUUAGAGAGAAAAUGGAAAAAUUUAGAGCUAAAAUGGAGCGCGUUAGCAAUUUAUCGAGUAAAGUGUCAAAAAUAGGUUAAUACCACGUUUAAGCCGUUUUAGGCUAUUGCAUUUCAUACCAUGCAUUAGUAUAGGAUUUAAGUUAGUUAUAUAGUGAUUUAGCAUCAAUGUGGUGAAUUGUGUAAAUUUUGCAAUGUGUCUAGGAGAAGAGCCUUCCGGUAAAGGCAAGGAAGUCGUACUCGACAAACAGUGAUCGGGGCACCUAGAAAGCAUUUAGUUUGUACAAACGGUGAGUAAACCUAUUAUUAUUGUAAAUUAUCUAGAGUUUAUUUUUAAAUGCUGUUUAUGUAUUUUAUGAAACGAAAAUGAGAUUAAAAUGGGACUUUUGAUGUUUAAGAAAUAAGUGUGACAAAUAAAUAUAUUGUGUUGAUUAUCUGAAAUAAGAAACUUUUGAUUAUGAAAUUGAGUAAAUGGGAGGCUGCCAAUUGUCUUAAAAAAUAAAUUUUCCUAUGAAUGGCUUAUGAUAUAUGAGUAUAUGUGGCUAUAUUUUAUAAUUGCAUUGGAAAUUUAUGUAAGCUGUCUUUUACUAUGCAAGCUGGGUAAAUAAAUAAAAGCCACGUUAUACUGUCGAAAUUUUAUUAAAAUUGGUGGGUUUAGUCACUGCAGUGACGGGUUUCCAUGGACUGCCUAUUAGAGGGGCACUGUAAACCUGGUUAUAUAGUUACUCCUGUUGUAGAGGCGAUGAGGGUAACUCCCGGGGUAGUGUUAGAGCUCACUUCAUGUCGAACCCCCGUGUGAAUUUGUAACUCGACCAAUGCCAAGGAACGACUUGUUUUCAAAACUAACAUGUGUUUAACAUGUAAAUAUCUUAACAACCUUGGCGGACUCGGUUUGAUGCCUCGGCCAAGGUAUCUCCGAGGAUUAGUUUUUGGCUUAAGCCCUGUUUCUAAUAAAAGUCAUAAGCCUUAACAACUGUUUUGGUAAAUUACAAAUAUUUUAUGGUUUAAGAAAUAAAUUGAAAACCUUAUGAAAUGGUUUGUGAUUUGUCAUUUAAACUUGCCUCCAUUUUACUCGCCUUUAGAUAUUUAUAAUAAUGUUUGUUUACUCAUUGGGAUUACAAAAUCUCACCCACCUCCUUUCCAAAUAUUUCAAGCCUAUGGUAGCUUAUAGAUACCCGAUUUUGUCGAGGAUUUCAGUUGACCCCUCUAUCUCACAGACACUAGGUUACUAUCACCAACACUUGGUAUAUUUAUGGGCCACUUGUCAUUGUAAUAAUUAUUGUACAUUAUAACUUUGUAAAUUAUUGUAUGCAUGAAUUUAUUUUAAUUACACGUGUUUCUAUAAAUAUUGUUUUAUAUAAAAAUGUUAUAUUUUAAUCAAUAUUUUGAAUAAUAAUAUUUGUCUAUAAAUCCUUUAAAAAAAUAUUUUGUCUUUUGAUUUACUUGAGCUGGAAAUGACUGGUAAUUGUUUAAAAUGGAAUGUUUAACAACGAUUGCUCAUAGGAAAGGCAAGAAACUGAUACGUAAGCCUUGCGGGGUUCUGAUUGGCAUUCUGGGUAAUGAGUGUAAAUCAGGACGUCGUGGCUAUUGUCAUGGGCCUGAGGGAGGUUCUGGGUCGUGACAAAACUAAUGUCCAUACACAGUUUCUUUUGAAUUGAUCAAGUUCCUCUUGCAUUGCUAUUAUCUAGCUUUCCUCUUUUUUAGCUUCUUCAAAACUUUUAGGUUCUAUUUGUGAAAUGAAAGCUGAAAACUCACAAGUCUCUCUUGUUGCUCUCCUAGUUUUAACACCUUGAGAAAUAUCACCUAUGAUUUGUUCUUAUGGGUGGUCUUUUGCAUAUCUCCAAUUCCUUGGAAGGUCAUUAUGCUGAUUUCAGUUAUUUGCAGGGUUUCAUUUCUCUUUCUUGGGAAUUUUCUUCACUGUUUUUCUCAUCAUCUAAACUUAUUUCUUCCAUUUGUUUUUCAAUAUCAUCCAUAUCAUAUUCAUCAUCAGAAAUUUCCUUUUACAAGAUAUUGGAUUUAUCAAAAACUACAUGGAUGGAUUCUUCAAUCGUUAAAGAUCUUUUGUGGAAGACUCUAUAGGCUUUUGAGUUUAAUGCAUGUCCUAAAAAUAUAGCUUCAUCACUCUUUGCAUCAAAACUUUCCUAAAGGCUAUUUACCAUUGUUUAAUACAAAACACUUACAGCCAAAGCUCCUAAGGUGAGAGAUAUUUGGUUUCUUACCUUUGUAAAGUUCAUAUGGAGUCUUUGAUAUCAUGGCUUUUAUAGACACUCUAUUAAGAAUAUAAGCUGCUGUGUUAACAGCUUCUGUCCAAAAAUAUUUAGGUAGAUUAUUCUCACACAGCAUAGUUCAAACCAUUUUUUUCAAAGUUUGAUUUUUUCUUUCUACAACUCUAUUUUGCUGGGGUGUUCUAGGUGUAGAAAAAUAAUGAUCCAACCCCUUUUCAUUACAAAAAUUCUCAAAUUCAUCUCCUUCAAACCCACCUCUAUGAUCACUCCUAAUACUAACUAUAACUAGUCCUUUUUCAUUUUCAACCUUCCUACAAUGACUUAUGAAUGCUGGUAGAGCAUCAUUUUUAUGAGCAAGGAAAUAUACCCAAGUGUAUCUAGAGUAGUCAUCAACUAUUACAAAGCCAUAAGAUUUUCGUUCUAGACUAGUUGUAUUUAUUGGACCAAAUAGAUCAAUGUGCAACAAUUCAAGAGGUCUAAAUGUGAAGACAAAUUUCUUAGUUUAAAAGAUGUUCUAGUUUGUUUUCCUAGUUGGCAAUCACCACAUAUCUUAUCAUUUUCAAACUUAAGAUCCGACAGUCCAACAAGUAAAUUUUUUCUAAUCAACUUUGACAUGUUAUGCAUGCUCACAUGUCCUAAUCUCUUAUGCCAUAACUAGCUAUCAUUUUCAGUAUUUGCUACAAGACAUAUUUCACAAUCCAUUUCAAGAUCCUCAAGAAAUACAACAUACAUAUUCUUUAAUCUUCUUCCAAUAAAUGAGACUUUAUUAGUGCUUAUGUCUAUCACUUCACAUCUGGUUGAGUCAAAACAUACCUUAAAUCCUUUAUCACAUAACUAACUAAUGCUCAAUAAAUUAUGUUUCAAACCUUUAACCAACAACAUAUGAUUAAUUUGAGUUUGAGAGUUUUUACCAACCGUUCCUAUGCCAUGAAUUUUACCUUUUGAAUCAUCACCAAAGGAUACAGUUCCUCCCUUUUUCUUGUCUAGCUGUGCAAAUAGCAUUUCAUUUUCUGUCAUGUGCCUUGAGCAGCCACUGUCCAUAUACCAAGGCUGCUUCUUCUUUAGUUGAGCUCUUGAACAUGUAUCUUUUGAGUGUAGCUCAACCUAUAAAACAAAUUCUCAAUUUUUCUUAAUAGGCACCCAUACUUUGAUGGGUCCUUGAAGGUUAGUUGCAACAUAGGAUCCUUUUGGAACCCAAAUCAUUUUUUUUCUGUGUGUUUCUUCUUCUAUAGCAGUUAUAAGAUAAAUGACCAAGUUUAUCACAAACAUAACAUAUAGAAGAGAAAUCAUUAGCAUUUCUUCUUAAAUUUGUGCUCUUUCUUAAUGAUUUUUUUCUUAAACUCUUAAGUACAGUAUUUUCAUUAAUUGCUUUUUGUAAAGCUUCAGUUUUAUUGUCCAGCUCCAAUUUCAUAACUUCAAAAUCUUUUUUUGAAUGUUCUAAUUCAGUUUGAAGCAAAUUUCUUUACUCAAAAAUAAAGUUGAAAUCAUGUUUUAUCUUUUCUAAAUCAAUCUCAAGAGAUGCAGUCUUUCUUUUUAAAGCUUUAUAUUUUGAUGCAAGUUUUUCAAACUCAUCAUAAAGACAUUCACAUUCUUCUUGAAGCUCAUUAAGUGAAAUAUCACAAGGAGAUGAAGAUACCUCAUAUUCAUCUUUUCUAGCCAUUAGACAUAAAUUUGCUUGUUCUACAACUUAAUUUUCUUCAACAUUUGAGCUUGAAGUAUCAUUGUCAGACCAUGUUGCAACCACCAUUGCUUUCUUCGAUUUUCUAUUUUUCUUUGGCUUGUCUUCCUUUUGCAUAUUUGUUUCUCCAUAUAACUCUUCUAAUUUUUGCCAAAUUUCCUUGGCACUUUUGCACAUGGACACUUUAUCAUAUUGUCUAUAAUCAAGUGCACAAAUGAGAGUGUGCAUGGCCUUAGAGUUGAUUUGUGCUCUCUUCAUUUCAGCUUUUGUCCAUUUAUUUCUAUCCUUAGGAGUUUUUUUACCAUUGACUAAAUUUUUAAUCAUUGGAAUGAAAGGACCAUCAGUAAUUAUAUCCUACAUCUCAUAGUCAUAAGCCCUGACAUAAAUUGACAUUCUAAUACUCCAAUAUGGAUAGUUAGAGCCAUCAAAUAGAGGUGGUUAUUUUAUGGAUUGUCCCUUAGCAACUAUUGAUUUUUGAAGAGCCAUUUAGAUCUUCCCAAAGGUGUUAGACCUUAAUAAUAGGGGUUAGGCUCUGAUACCACUUGUUGGUCCCAAAUAAAUGUGCUAGGGGGUGGGUGAAUGGCACUUUUUAGCUCUUAGCAAGAUUAGGAACUAAUUUAAAAAGAAAUGAAAAUAAAAACAAAGUUGACAAUGUGCAGGAAUUUAGAGUGGUUCGGUCCAAGACCUACAUCCACUACCUUGAUUAUCCAACCAAAGAUUUUUCAAACUAAUCCACUAUGAACGAUGAAAUUCACAAGCUUUCACCAAGAUUUACAAUGGCUUUUACCAGGCUUAGCCAAAACUUUUCACACUAGUUUUUACCAGGAUCAACUAAAACCCGAAGAGGUUUUUCAAAGGCUCAACCACAACCUUUCAUAAUGGUUUUUCACAGGCUUAACCAAAACCCAAAGUGGUUUUUCAAAGGCUCAACCACAACCUACAACAAUGGUUUUUCACGAGAUCAACCAAAACCCAACAACUAACUUUUCAACCCUAAGUUAAAACCUCUGGUCAAUCAAUCAAUCCUAACUUGAAUUAAUCCCUUAAAGUGACUUGCUCACUCUAAGAAUACAAAGAGAAAAGAGAUGAAAGUGUACCUAUGAUCACAAGGUUGAUCUAAGUGGUACAAAUGAAGUGCAGAUCACUAUUACAAAGAUGGGAGUUGAGUGUAGUAGAUGAGCAGUAAGUGUUUUCUGGUUUUUUAGCUCUCUUUGUGUUUUUGGAAACCUUCAAUGCAUUUCUAGCCGUUGAAACCCUCUUUUAUACUUGGAUAAUUAGCUCUAAAGUGAGUUAGAUAGUUUUUGACUGUUGGAAAUAGUUUGGGUAGCAAUUCUAGCCUUUAAUUUGUGUUUUAGUGUAAGAUUCAAAUUUGCAAACAGAAUGCUCUUAGUCGACUAAUCGAUAUCUUAGUCGACUAAGUUGUCUUUGUUUUUUGUUUCCAGUUUCUGUCAAUAAGCACUUAGUCGACUAACCCAUUCCUUUGUUGACUAAGUUGGUUCUAUUUCUCAACACUCUUAAACCCGCCAUUCUUCCAAUUUGAAUUUUAGUUGACUAACUCUUCAUUAAUCUGCUAAAGGGCUUCUGUCUUGUUGAUCAAUUGUGACUUCCUUACUCUUAUUCUCUUUAUAUGUGCAUUUGAAUGAAUGAUUUAUUAUUUGUACACAAUUUUUGUCCUGCACACUCAAGUAGAGAUAUUAGACACAAAUGAAUGGGAAUGUUUUAUUAUCAUAAAAAACAAAUGGCGCCAACAGAUAGAUCGAGAAAUCUAUCGAUAGAUGAUGACUGUUAGAGCUUGGAACAGUGUUCUAAAUGGCUAUUGUCACAUUUAAUUCACCCUCAACUGCCUUUGAAGCUUCACUAACUAUAAAUUCAAGCUCCUGUAACAUUUAUAAAGGUUGGGAGACUUUGAAACAUAGCUCAAAAAGAUAAUAACUUAGCAAAAUCAUUCAAUACUCUUUGUACUCUUUUUUUACCUUAUAAGUCUUCUAUUGUAGCAGUUAUUGAGCCUUCAUUGCUUGUUCUUUCCCUCACCAAAUAUUGUAUCUAACUUGUUCUUCAGCCUUUAAGAGGCAUUCCAUCUAUAUUUAUGUUCCUCUCAUUAUAUUCACUUAAGUGGUUAUACCAUAACCCACAUAAAAGGUAGAGUGAUUGUGCAGUAACUUUAAAAAUACAUUGUAUUGAAAGGUUGUGCUUGAUCCACAAAAGGUAUUGCGUUGAAUUCUAAUUCAGUAAUGGAUAUUAAAUGCUUUAGUGAAUUUAAGGGAGAAUAUGUAGGUAAGGAAAUUGAACCUCUAUAAAAACUAUUGUGUUGAUUUUUUCUCUUUUUCUUUACUCCUUUAAAUUGAUUUGCACUUCCAACUUCUCUUACUUUUCAAAAAGCAAUUGUCCUGCUCAUUUUCAAAUUGGGAUUUGGAUCAAGGGAAUUCUAUUUUCUCAAAAAAAGAAAAGGAAUCAUCAAAAUUUUAAAAACAUUCCAAUUCACCCUCUCUUGGAAUUACUCACAUUGAGCUUAUUGCACUAACAUAAUUUAUAAAUUUUAAUUUAUAAGCAAAUAAUAACAAAGACAAAAAUAAUUAUAGAAAAAAAUAACAAUUGAAAAACCUUGACGUAAACAUGUAAGAAUUAAUGUAAAAAAUAAUAAAGGUGGAAUAAGCAUUGUCAAAAAAUUGACAUAAAUAUGUGAGAUUUAACGUAACAAGUCAAUUAAGUCAAAAUAAACAUAAUUUUUGUGAAAAUUAAACUUGUAAAUUUAUAUUAUCGAGUUAAAAGUAUUUAACAAUUUAUAAAUUUUAAUUUAAAAAAGGAUAAUAAUACAGAUAAAAAUAAUUAUGGUGAAAACUAGCAUCUGAAAAACAUUGACAUACACUUGUAAGAGCAAAUGUAAAAAAUUAUACAGGUGGAACAAGUGUUGCUGAAAUAUUGAUGUAAACGUGUGAGAUUUAUUGUAACAAGUCAAUUAAGUCAAAAUCAAUAUAAUUUUUGAGAAAAUUAAGCAUUUAAAUUUAUAUGAUUAAGGUAAAAAUAUUUAACAGUUUAUAAAUUUUAAUUUACAAAUUAAUAAUCAUAAGGAUAAAAAUAAUUAUACUAAAAGUUAGUAAUUGAAAAAUCUUGAUGUAAACCUGUUAGAAAUAAUGUAAAAAUUAUAAAAGUGGAAGAAGGAUUGUCAAAAUAUUGAUGUAAAUGUGUGAAAUUUAAUAUAACAAGUUAAUUAAGUCAAAUAAACAUAAUUUGUUGGGAAAUUAAACACUUAAGCUUAUAUACUCGAGUUUAAAUACUUAUAAGUUUACAAUUUUAAUUUAUAAAAGGAUAAUAAUAAUGAGAAAUUAUAAUAAAAAAUAUCAUGUCACGACCCAAAUUUUCGAGCCAUGACCGACGCAUGGGCCUAAUGGACGUAGCCCACUAAGCCCAAGCAAGCCUAUCUAUAUGUCCUGUUUAUCAUUCCAUCCAAGUGGCUAAAGUUACAUUUCAUAAUUCCAAUUUGAAAUAUUGAUAACGAUUGCCAACUCGUCGUGGCAUUACCAAUCAAAAUAUACAUAUCAAUGUAUUGUGAUAACACAUGAACCAUUAUAUGGCACACUUUCACAAGAUAGAAACAUUCACCAAAGGCUUGUUCCCUAGGUAGAUUUUUAAGAAAAAGUUGGAUAAAAUCAUUCAAACGUUUUGUGCAAAUACAUUCCCAAAACAUAUUUGAAAUGCAAGUUCACUCACCGGUAUUCGUUAAACCUUUACUCAACUCCAACUUCCUCUAAUGGUCCAAAUGGGGCGGUGGGGCUUCGUUAGAGCCUAUCAUCACAUUGGCAUCACAAUUAACUCAAUUCAUACAACUAUAAAUUCUAAAAGCUAUCUUCUAACUAGCAUCUAAUUCUCAUUAAGUAGCUAUCUAUUUUCACUAUCCUAAUCACUCUAAAGUGAAUGAACAACCUCAACUACAAAAUACUCACAAGUCUAAUCACUAGCCAUUCUCAACAAAAAAAAAAAUCAACUCUAAUUUACUACUCACCUUUGCAGCUUUGUAAAUUUCAAAUUCUCUUCAAUAAUUUUCAAGCUAUUAUAGAAACUCCCUCUUUCUCUCUCUAAAACACCUAGCUACGGAGAGAGAGUAUGGAAGUAAGAAUUUUCAAGGGUUUUAAAAUGAGAGAGUGAAAGAACACAAAGGUUUUAUGAAAAGGUGCGCAAAAGCAUGAAGAUUGAAGCUAACUUGUGGGAAGUUAUGAAGGUUUCAAACAAGCUUCCAUGGAGGAUGAAAGCAAUGUGAGAUGGGAGGAAGAAGAUGAAGAAGAAGCUGCUGGAAGAAAAUGAUAUUUAUAGCUCAUGCUUAUCCAACUCAACUUAAAUUACGAAAAUGCCCUUAAAAAGUUAGCUUGUUCUCCUCCAAUCCUUUAUGAAAUCUUUUUACUCGUUUAACACAAAAACAAAGUCCAUAAUGGUCUAAAAAUGCUCUGGUUCACAAAAACUUAAAAAUUUUGACUCAAGAUGAAAAAUGAGCACUUUGCCCCUACCAUGGAAAUCAUCAUCAUUUUUUAUUUCCUUCAUCAUUUUACCCAUAUUUUCAUCAUUCAUUUAUGCCUUAGGUCUACUUAGGCCUUAAUAUUGGUUAAAAACUUACUUUUAGGGGCUCACUAAGGAAUUGACGAAAUUACCCUAAAUCAGGGAUAUCGCAUCUACUUCUAGCUACAAGUCUAUAAAGGUCAAGGUCUCACAUUCUCCCCCACUUAAAGAAAUUCGAUCCCCGAAUUUAGAUUCAACUAUAAGGUAGCGUACCUCUAAGCAUCAAAGAGGUGUGGAUAUUUUAUCCGCAUGUCCUCCUCAGCUUCCCACGUUACCUCUUCACUGGUGUGGUUUCGCCAUAACACUUUCACUAAGGCUACAUCCUUUGAACAGAGCUUUUUAACUUGCUUAUCAAGAAUAAGCACUAGUUGCUCCUCAUAGGUUAGAUCGUCUUGCAACUGGAUUGUUUCAUACCACAUUACAUGAGAUGGAUUUGGGUUAUAUUUCCUAAGCAUUGACACAUGGAAUACGGGGUAAAUAUUCAAGAGGUCUGGUGGUAGCGCCAAGCGAUAAGCCACUGCUCCAUCCCUUUCUAAGAUCUCGAAGGGCCCUAUAUACUCAAGACUUAAUUUUCCUUUCUUGUCGAACCUCAUUACCCCUUUUGUUGGUGAGACCUUCAAAAAUAAAUGAUCCCCCACCUGAAACUCCAAGUCUCUCUGUCUGUUAUCAGCAUAUGAUUUUUGUCUACUUUGUUCUAUUAGCAUACUCUGUCAAAUCAUGCUUAUUUUCUCGAUGGCAUCCUGUACCAGUUUUGGCCCCAAAAGUUUUCUUUCUCCCACCUCUAGCCAUCCAAUAGGUGACUUGCACCUCCAUCCAUAUAAUGCUUCAAAUGGUGCCAUUUAGAUGCUAGCUUGGAAACUAUUGUUGUAAGCAAACUCCACUAAGGGUAGAUACCGAUCCCAUUUAACCCCAAAGUCUAUUACACAUGCCCUCAGCAUAUCUUCCAAUGUCUGUAUUGUUCGUUCUGAUUGCCCAUCAGUCUGAGGCUGGAAAGGCAUGCUGAAAUCCAACUUAGUGCCCAAUGCUUCCUACAACUUUCCCCAGAACCUACUGGUGAACUAUGCUUCUCUAUCAAAUAUUAUAGAAAUGGGGAUACCAUGCAGUCGUACUAUCUCAUCCACAUAAACUCGAGCGUAUUGGGCAACCCUGUAAGUAGUUUUAAGCAAAAGAAAAUGGGCUGACUUUGUUAACCGGUCCACUAUGACCCAAAUCGAAUCAUAGCCCCCACUUGUUCGAGGCAAACCCGUUACGAAAUCCAUUGCAAUAUGCUUCCACUUCCAUUCGGGCACUUGUAAUGGCUAUAGUAGCCCUACAGGCCUUUAAUGCUUGGCUUUAACCUGCUGACAAACUAGGCACUUGGAGACAAACUCAACUACAUCUUUCUUAAGUCCUUCCCACCAAUAUACCUCUUUCAAAUCUUGAUACAUCUUUGUAGCCCCUAGAUGUACCACAUAGGCUGCCAUGUGCGCCUCCUCCAAUAUUUCUCUCCUCAAACCAUCACUAUCGGGCACAUAAAGUCUGGUUCCAUACCUCAAUACUCCAUCCAUGCCUUUAGUAAACGUAUUUCCUUUCCUUUCUUAAGGAUCCUCUAAGGCCUUAGCUAUGAACUCAUCCUCACCUUGUGCUUCUUUAAUCCAAUCCAUUAAGAUAGGCCUUACUCUACAAUGUGCUAGGAAUGCAUUUGCCUCCGAAAGUUCCAAAUGCACACCCAUGUCUCCCAAGCUAUGCAUCUCCCUAAGUAAGGAUCUCUUAUUUGUAGAGAUAUGUGCCAGACUCCCCCAUCGAUUUUCGACUCAAGGCAUCCACCACUACAUUUGCCUUACUAGGAUGGUAAAAAAUAGUACAAUCAUAAUCUUUUAGCAAUUCCAUCCACCUACGUUGCCGCAAGUUAAGAUCCCUCUGCUGAAAUAUAUACUUCAGGUUUUUAUGGUUCGUAUAUAUCUCACAAGUCUCACCAUACAAGUAGUGUCUCCAAAUCUUUAAGGCAAACACGAUUGCUGCCAUCUCUAAAUCAUGUGCGGGGUAAUUCUGCUCAUGCCUUUUAAGUUGCCUUGAUGCAUACGCAAUCACCUUCCCAUGCUACAUUAAAACACACCCUACACCAUCCCGCGAUGCAUCACAGAAUACCGUAUAACCCCUUAUGCCUUGCGGUAGGCUUAAUACUAGAGCUGUGGUGAGACAUGCCUUAAGCUUCUCAAAGCUAUCCUCAUAAGCACUUGAUCACUCAAAUUUUGUAUCUUUACGUGUCAGCUUAGUCAAAGGGGUGACUAUUUUGGAGAAGUCCAUCACAAAACGACGAUAAUAGCCAACCAAACCCCAAAAAGCUUCUAAUCUCCGUAACUGAUGUUGGCUUGGGCCAUUUUUCCACUGCCUCAACUUUCUUUGGAUCAACUUGUACCCCAUCCUUGGAUACCACAUGUCCCAAAAAUGCAACGCUUUCAAGCCAAAACUCACACUUGGAGAACUUGGCAUACAAUCGAUGUUCUCUCAAAGUUUAGAGCACUAUCUUAAGAUGCUGCUCAUGCUCCUCUCGGCUCUUCGAGUAGAUCAAGAUGUCAUCAAUAAACACCACCAUGAACUUGUCCAAAUAGGGCUUGAACACUCGGUUCAUCAAAUCCAUAAAGGUCGCAAGGGCAUUUGUAAGCCCGAAUGACAUCACCAAGAACUCAUAGUGCCCAUAUCUUCUUCGAAAUUGUCACGACCCAAAACCUCCCUCGGGCCCAUGACAACCGUCGCGACGUCCUAAUUGACACUCAUUACCUGAAAUGCCAACAGAAACCCCGCAAGGCUUAGCAUCAGCUUUCGCAUAUCCCCGGUGAGCGACAGUUAUUAAAUCUUGCAUUUCAAGAAAUCAUAAUUCAUUUCCAAAUCAAAUCAAUAAAAUAUUAUUUUCUAGCUCACAGGGGUAUUUUCAUUAUUUUUCUUUGAAAUUACCAAAACCCGCCAAAAACAUGGUGUAAAAGCUAAAUAUGUUCAUACAUAUUUUAAAUCAAAUAACUAACAUAUAAAAUUACUUUUACAAUGACACGUGGGCCCCCAACUAACCAAUAAGAUGCGAGUUUGUGAACCUAUAAUUUUGUCAAUGCAAGGCUAACUGAAGUCCUUGAUGCAAUCGGCUAUCUACCGGCUAUCCCGAACCUAAAAUGUGGGGAAUUAAGGGUGGUGAGAUUAUAAAAUCCCAGUGAGUAAAUAGACACCAUCUAAACUAUCUAAAGGCGAGUAAAUGAAGACAAUUAAAAAAUAAUUAACUUCAGCAAAUUUUUCACAUCACGAAUAUUCAUUUCAACCAAAUAAUCAAUAUGGCUCGUGAAUUACUCAAAACUUGGCUCAUGCCAAAUCCUGUACUCGGUGACACCUGGACCAAGGGUAUCCAACCGAGCCUGCCAAGGCUAUUAAAAAUUCAUAUUUCGCAUAAAUCAUAUUUUUAUUUUGAAACGUAGCCGUUCCUUGGCAUUGGCUGAGUCUCACUCUCACGCGAUGGUCCACGUAAAGUGCACUCAAAAAGCCCACCUCAGGAGAUACCCUACGCGCCUCUACGACCAAGGUGAGAAUAUAAAGGAGUUUACCGUGCCCCUCUAAUAGGCUGGCCCACGGAACCCCCCACUACUGCAGUAGCUAAUCUUUUAUCUACUACCUGAUUUAUAAAAUCUUUUUCUGCAUGACAUGGCAAUUUAUUGCAACCUAGCCUCUUAAGGCUAAAUACAUAGUACAAAUAAUUCUAACACCAAAAUCAGUUUAGCCAUUCAUGCUCAUUUAUUGUCAUAAGCCGUUCAAUUUAAAACCAUAAAUUUACAACACAAGCAGGCAGUCUCCAAUUACUCUAUUUUCAAAACCAGUAUUCGAUUUUCCAGAAAAUUUAUAAAAUCAUAAUUUCUCUUAAAACAUUGCAAUUUACCAUUUAAACUCAUUUUCCAUAAAAUCACACAAUUGUAUAAAACUACUCUAGAUAAUUAAGACGAUAAUAAGUUUACUCACAGUUUCUGAAAACUAAAUUCGGGUACUCCAACUAUUACUCCUCGGGUGUGAUUUCUUUGCCCUUGCCAAAGGAUUUGCCACCUUGACAAAUUGCACAAUUAAGAGGUUUACUACUUUGGUACUAAACCAAAAUAAACUAAUUUAUACUACUAAUGCAUGAUAUGAAGUGAAAAAUGUCUAAAUUUUGCCUAAACGCGGUGUUAGCCUAUUUCGGUCUUUUACUCGAUAAAUCGAUAUACACAUCCAUUUAAACUCCAAAUUAAUUUUUUUCAAUUUCUAUACCUCAACUGCACCCAAAUUAACUUAAUGUUCAUCAGUGUGGUGCAAAUUAUCAGUCCCGAUAGCAAAUUACGAAAAUACCCCUAGUGGGUAAAAAUUCAUAUUUUUGCUCCGAAAAUUCCCAUUAUUUUUCUAGGCUCAUAAUUCAUCAUUAUUCAUCAUAAUUCCUCAAAUAAACAUCAAGAUCAGCAGCCAAUAUUCCCCUAGAAAAUUCGGCAUAAUGGGUUUCAAUGGGAGAAAAUUAUUUCUCUAGCUUAUUUUUGCUAUAUUUCAAUAUAACCUAACUAAAAUCACUUAAUUCAAUUAAAAUCAACCAAAACUCAAGCUCAAAACUCAUCCAUGGAGGUUUGGCCAGCAUGGGUGUCCAUACCCACUUUCUAAUUUUGCAUGGAAAUGAGAAAAAAAUGCAUGGGUAGUGAAAAUCACAAGGAAAAUCAAUGAAAUUUACCUUUUUAAUGCUUGAUUUCUUGAUUUCUCUUGAUUUUUCCCAAAAUUUUUCAGCUAGGGUUCUUAUUUCUUUUCCCCCUUUUUCUCUCCUGGUUUGGACAGCUGAAGAAGAUGAGAAUUCUGGAAUUUUGACCUUUUUAAAGGCUAAAAUAAUAUAAUAUUAUUUUAUUCAUUUUUUUAAUGUUUUAUUAAUUCCUUAAAUUCUAGCCAUCCAUUUGUUUCCAAAUUUUCACCAUACACUUGUCCCACAUAUCCAUAGCUUAGAUAAAAUUUUCAGACUUAUCCAAAUUCUUGGUGGAGUAAUUUUUGAAAUUUACACUUUUGCCCCUAUAAAAGUCAAAAAUUACAUUUUUGCCCCAAAAACUGAAAAAUUGCCCAUAGACAUAUUUUUCAUCCCUUAUACUCAUACCAUUCUCCAAUUUGUCAAAUUUGAUCUAAAUUCUCUCAAAAUCUCAAAUUUUGUUCGUGGGUGGAAAAAUUACGAUUUUUGCCCUUACACUCCAAAAAUCACCGGAAUUAAACUUUUUCACUACCAAACCCUCAAAUUGUACUCAAUACUCAAAUCAUACUAUAAUAAGUUAAAUGGGGCCAAAAAAAAAUAUUUUCUCAAAAUUCUCAUUUUGUCCCCAAGUGGCAAAUGACCAUUUUGCCCCUAGAUAGUGAGAAUUUCGAUUUGACUCCAAACUGAUCAUCGAACUCCGAAUUACCAUUUUGAGUCAUCCCUGAACUGUGAAACUCUUAAUUUCACCUCAAAAUUCCUAUUUGAACUAGUUUGAGGCUUAAUCGACUUAAUGGUACCAUUAGGGGUAAUAUCAUCUUUCAACGAUUCCUCGAACUUCCUAAACAUGCAAACAUUCUAUUAGCAUGUAAAUGACGUCAUAAUUAUUUUAUAGAACAUGGUUUGACAGAAAUGUUGUCUUUGGUAUAUCUUCAUUCCGGAUCCUUAACUGAUGGAACCCAUAUCGUAGGUCUAUCUUAGAGAAACAUUGUGCUUCUUGUAAUUGAUCAAAUAAAUCAUCUAUUCUUGGAAGGGGGUACUUAUUCUUCACCGUCACUUUAUUAAGCUAUCGGUAGUCAAUGCACAAUCUAAGAGACCCAUCUUUAUUCUUUACAAAUAACACCGGUGCUCCCCAUGGUGAGACGUUAGGACGGAUGAAGCCUUUAUCCAACAAAUCUUUUAACUGAUCCUUAAGCUCCUUAAGCUCCGUAGGUGCCAUCCUAUAUAGGGGUAUGAAUAUAGGUCUAGUUUCGGGAAUCAAAUCUACCCAAAAUUCAAUCUCCCGCUCAAGAGGCAAACCUGGUAGUUCCUCAAGAAAUACAUCCAUGAACUCAUUCACCAUCGACACUUGGCUUAUAUAUCCAACCUUCGCUUGAGUAUCCCUUGCCACAGCCAAAUAACCUAAACAACCCUGUCGUAAUAAUCUUCUGGUUGACAUGAUCGAUAUUAAAUUGGUUGGAGCAUUGCUUCUAUCCCCCUGAAUACUAAAUGAUGGUUCACAAAAAAAAUCAAAUCUAACCAAUUUAUGAUAGCAGUCUACACAGGCAUGACAGGGUGGUAGCCAAUCCAUACCUAAGAUCACGUCAAAAUCUAAGGUGUCUAACACCACUAAACUCUCCAAAGUAUCCUUGUCCUUGACUCAAGCUACACAGGACUCAUAUUCCCAUUUGGCCACAAAUACCUCUUUUAAAGGAGUAGACACCACUAAUUGUUCUUCUCUCUUAACAUAAUCUUUACCCAAACGAGAUGCAAAGCAUGGAGAAAUAAAAGAGCGGGUAGCACCAGGAUCAAACAAUACCCGAGCAUUCAUAUUACAAAUUGAGAGAAUACCUGAUACCACUACGUUGGAUGUCUGGGCCUCUUGUAGUGUUAAAGCAAAUACCCUUGCUUGACCCCUACCAGCAAAACUUUAGCGUCCAGACCCAAAAGGCCUGCCCUGAGAGGAAGUAACAACACCUCUCCCUCUUGAUCCGCUAACCUCCAAAUCAGAUGAGGUGGCUACUGAAGGAGCGGAUGAAGUUGGCUAGGUGGAGUCGCGAGCAAAACCUUGCGAUUGAUGAGCCAUUGGGCAAUUCCUUUUAAUAUGUCGAGGUUGACCACAUAAGAAAAAAGCUCCAGUAGCACAGAGGCAUCUUCCCCUAUGCCGUCCCCCACAAGUAUCGCAACGACGAAUAACUUGACUUCGUUACCUAGAGUCUUGCUGCCUUCCCCCACUAAAAGUUUUCUGCCUUGAUCAAAUGUUGGCACCAGUCAAGUCACUCCCCUGUUGGGGUAAUUAUGAGUCCCUUUGUGGGCCCUGACGGCUAGAAGAUGAAACACCACUACUGAAGUCUCUGCGACCUUGAUAGCCGUCUGUCUUGGCCCUCUUUGCUCUAUCCCUCACAACCCUACUCUCACUAAUUCUCAUCUCAAUCCAUUGAGCGCAAUCCACUGUUGUGGAGUAGGUAUUGAAAUCUUGAGAUGCCAUAGCCCUAAAUAAUGGCUCCACUAGCCCAUCCACAAACCUCUGAAUCUUCAUCUCCUCAGUGGAAACUAGAUAAUGCACAUAUCGAGACAACUGUGUGAAUUUUAUAUCAUAAUCAGACACCGUCAUACUCGAGGUCUAUACCAAAGCCUCAAAAUCCCUAGCUCUGGCAUUACGUAUACUGAGUGGUAAAAAUCGAUCUAAAAAGGCUGUACUGAACUCACUCCAAGUCAAAAGUGCUGCAUUCGUUGGUCUACCUCUACAUAGGGAACUAUACCAUUCUUGAGCCACGUCCUCUAAUCGGAGGACGGCUAGCUCGACUAAUCGGAUACUGGAACAUCCUAAGGCUUUACAAAUUUUCUCCAUCUUUUCUAAGAAAAUCUGAGGUUUCUUUGAUGCAUCAGACCUUGAAAAUGACGGAGGCUUAAGCUUGAGAAAAUUAGGAAGAGAAAUCUCUAAAUGACCCCUCUCGGCCUCAUUAUGCUAGCUUUCGACCUACCACUAGGAACUAGGGGAUUCUUGUACUGUAGGUCUUCCCUCCACUAUCCUCUGCAUAUCGUCCAUAUGGGCUGCCAUCAUCUCUACAACCCGAUUAACUCCCUGCAGGCCUGCCGCCAAGUCCUCAAUUGUGAUGCCCCCAGUUGGUUGUCUAUCCGUAUCACUCGGAGAUUGUCCAUCCUCUUGUCUACUCACAUGCGUAUCCGCCCUCACUGGCCUAAUGGCCCCUCAACAUCUACCUCGCCCCCUUAAGGUGGAUGCCUGUGGCCAAUCUGUUAGCUCAUUAGGAGCAUCUUGCUCCCCCAUCCGUCUUGAGGCAGCUCGUGUCUUAGGCAGCAUUCUUACCUAGACAAUAGCAAACACCUGUCAUUAAACACAUUUUAUAAUCAUACUUAAGGGGAAAAAGGUGGUUUCUAAGAUAGGGAAUUCCUGCGGUCCCUUGAUUGCAAAAUGUGCCAUGGUUCACACUUCACAACUGAAGGUUCCACAUAAAGACCCAACACUCCGUUGGACCAAAAAAAAGAAGUCCUAGGACCUAGACAACCUAAGGCUCUGAUACCAAGUCUAUCACGAUCUAAAUUUUUCGAUCAUCACCAGCGCAUGGGCCCAAUAGACGUAGCCCACUAAGCCCAAGCAAGCCUAUCUAUAUGUCCUGUUUAUCAUUCCAUCAAAGUGGCUAAAGUUACAUUUCAUAAUUUCAAUUUGAAAUAUUGAUAACGAUUGCCAACUCGUCAUGGCAUUACCAAUCAAAAUAUACAUAUCAACAUAUUGUGAUAACACAUGAACCAUUAUAUGACACACUUUCACAAGAUAGAAACAUUCACCAAAGGCUUGUUCCGUAGAUAGAGUUUUAAGGAAAAGUUGGAUAAAAUCAUUCAAAUGUUUUGUGCAAAUACAUUCCCAAAAUAAUUUUGAAAUGCAAGUUCACUCACCGGUAUUUGUUAAAUCUUUACUCAACUCCAACUUCCUCUAAUGGUCCAAAUAGGGUGGUGGGGCUUCGUUAGAACCUAUCAUCACAUUGCCAUCACAAUUAACUCAAUUCAUACAACUAUAAAUUCUAAAAGCUAUCUUCUAACAAGCAUCCAAUUGUCAUUAAGUAGCUAUCUAUUUUCACUAUCCUAAUCACUCUAAAGUGAAUGAACAACCUCAACUACAAAAUACCCAUAAGUCUAAUCACUAGCCAUUCUUAACACAAAAAAAAAGAUCAACUCUAAUUUACUACUCACCUUGGUAGCUUUGUAAAUUUGAAAUUCUCUCCAAUAAUUUUCAAGCUGUUAUAGAAACUCCCUCUUUCUCUCUUUAAAACACCUAGCUAGGGAGAGAGAGUUUGGAAGUAAGAAUUUUCAAGGGUUUUCAAAUGAGAGAGUGAAAGAACACAAAGGUUUUGUGAAAGGGUGCACAAAAGCAUGAAGAUUGAAGCGAACUUGUGGGAAGUUAUGGAGGUUUCAAACAAGCUUCCAUGGAGGAUGAAAGCAACGUGAGAUGGGAGGAAGAAGUUGAAGAAGAAGCUGCUAAAAGAAAAUGAUAUUUAUAGCUCAUGUUUAUCCAACUCCACUUAAAUUGUGAAAAUUCCCUCAACAAGUUAGCUUGUUCUCCUCCAAUCCUUUAUGCAAUCUUUUUACUGAUUGAACAUUGAAACAAAGUCCAUAAUGGUCUAAAAAUGCUCGGGUUUGUGAAAACUUAAAAAUUUUGACUCGAAAUGAAAAAUGACUAUUUUGCCCCUAUCGUGGAAAUCAUCAUCAUUUUUUAUUUCCUUUGUCAUUUCACUCAUAUUUUAAUCAUUCAUUUAUGCCUUAGACCUUAAUUGUGAGACCCUGUCAAGCUCGAUUAAAAGACGGUAUUGUACCGAGUGGUACAACUAAGUUAAAUCGAGCCUUGAACUAGUUCAAAUAAAAAUUUUAAGAGAAAAUUGAAAAUUUUGAAACCCAUAGAAUGGCUUAGAAUAGUGAUUUGAAGUUCAAGGUCCAGUUUGGAGUCCAUCAGAAAAAUUGACCGAUUAGGGACAAAACGGUCACUUUACCAUUUGAUGAUAAAAUGGAGAUUUUUAGCCAAGAUUUGAUCACAUUUGACUAAGAGUAAUUAUAUGAAAUAUAAUUAUGAUUAUUGGAGUAUAAAAUGAUGUUUAGCAGUGAAAAAAUUAUGAUUUCUGGUAUUUUUGGAGCACAAGGGCAAAAUGGUAAUUUUACCACUAGAGGACUAAACGGGAAUUUUUAUAAAAUGAGUUUUUUGCCCCAUUUGGUUAAUAUUGAUCAAUGUUAGUGUUAUUUGAGGUUGAAAAGUAGAAAUAAUUUGAUUCCGGUACAUUUCGGAGUAUAGGGGCAAAAUCGUAAUUUUUUUCGCUCCGGGGGCAAAUCGAUAAAUUUUUUGCCCCAGCACUUGUCAAGGCCAAGGGAUUUUAUUCAUCCUGUAAAUGGAUAAACAUGAGAAAUGUGUGGUGGAGAGAGAUUACUUAAUGGCUAAGUAUGACACAUGGACCAAUGGAAUGGUGACAUGUGUCAAAAUCUCAUCCAUUCAUUAUUUUCUUUAUAAAAGGCAUACAAAUCAGCCCAUUUCUCCCAUGGUGAUCAGCCAAACCAGAAGAGAAGAGAAACCAAGGAAGAACAAGCCCUAGGUGGGGAAAAUCAGAGAGAAAGUGUUGGAAUUCAAGGAAACAAGCUAGGUAAGUUAAAAUUUCUUUAAUUCUCCUUGAUACCUAGCUUACCCAUGCUUUUGUUCUUGAUUUCCAUGAUUGAAUAUUGAGUUAUCAUGAUGAAUUCAAUUCUGAAAAAUGGGUAUGGAAGAGGAAUUGUUGUUGGAAUAAUUAGAUUUCAGACUAUGUUAGUGUUUAAGGAUAGUUAAGCAUGGUUAUGAACAAAAACACAAAAGAAAUAUUCAAUUUCUCUAGGGUUCCUUGUUGGUCGAACCAUGAGGGCUGAAUAUCAAUGGGGGAUUGUUUUUAUUUAAAGGAAAAUGGCUUGGAAAAUGAUGAAUUAAGGUGAAACGAUUAUGUAGAAAAAAUUUCGGUGCUAGUGCACCAAAUGACCAAAUUUUUCUAUUAGGAACUGUGAGGGUUCUAAUGCUGAAUUUGGCUUUAUUUAAAUGGUAUGUGGUAAAUUAAGGUAUUAGAGGAGAAAUGGAUUAAUUUGGAGUGAAAUUGGACGCAUUGGCCAAUUUAUCGGAUGAAAAAUCGACUUAGGCCACUACCGGGUCUAGAUGGCUACCCGUGCAUUUUUCAUUUCAUAUCAUAUAUAUAUCGAGCUUGAAAUAGCUUAUGACUGUUAGACACAAUUUAAUUGGAAUAUGUGUCAUGGAUUAUGGCUAGGUGGUGAGCCAUUGGAUACGGGUAAAGGACUGUACCCACGGACUAAAAAUAGGAGUAUUCUACUCCUAAUACCAGUGAGUGGACUUGCAUUUCAAACUUGUUUUGGGGAAUAUGAAAGAUUCUAUUCAACUUGUCUUAGAAAAUGUACCUUGGGAACAAACUUUUAGUAAAAUGAUUUUAUAUUGUGAAAAUGUGAUAUACAAUGGUUUAUGUGUUAUCACAAUAUGAUAAAAUGCAUGAUAUGCAUUGGAUGUGUAAAGCCCGACCUUAUAAAAUACUAUUCAUGACAUACAUGUGAUGAUAGUAUGAUUGCAUGCUAGGAUAGUCCCGAAAAAUUUACAAAAGUCGGUAUUGUACCUAGAGGUACAACAAAGUUUAUUUAAUCCUCGAACUAGAUCAAAUAGGAAUUUUAAGGUGAGAUUAAGAGUUUCACAGUUCAUGGAUGACUUAAAAUGAUAAUUUGGAGUUUGAGGAUCAAUUUUGAGUCAAAUCGGAAUUUUCACUAACUAGGGGCAAAAUGGUCAUUUGCCAUGUAGGGACAAAAUGAGAAUUUUAGAAAAGAUUUUUUUUUUUACCCCAUUUGACUUAUUGGAGUAUAAUUUGACUUAUUGAAGUAUGAUUUGAGGUUUAGAAGUAAAAAANNNNNNNNNNNNNNNNNNNNNNNNNNNNNNNNNNNNNNNNNNNNNNNNNNNNNNNNNNNNNNNNNNNNNNNNNNNNNNNNNNNNNNNNNNNNNNNNNNNNCUAAACCAUAAUUAUUCAAUCAAAAUACAUAUCGUGCAUCGAAAUCUUAUUUUUUAGUAUCGAAUAUAGUAUUGUAUAAUUUAAAAUUACUUAUAAAUAAUAUUUAUACAUAUAAAAUAAAGAAAAUAUUUUAAAAUGUUAUAUUUUUUUAUAGAAUUGAAGAUUAUAGAAUUAUACAUAAAUAAAAAAAAGAUCAUUUUUUAAUUGAAAUUCUCAAUAUAUUUCUAAAUAAAAUAUACAUUUUUAUAUUAAUUUACAAGACAAGAUGAGAUGUCUACGCCUAAUACCACACCAUUCCAUGACCAUAAACAAACCCCUCGAAGCAUUCAUUCAUUCCUAUUGAAUCAAAUAACAUAUAAAACAACUGCACCUUCUCUUCUCGACCUUUCACAAAGCUUUCUUCCGUGGAAACCAGCAAUCCCGCUUGGAUGAAAUUUUUUUUUAUAAUACUUUUAUAUACAUAAUGUUUAACUAAUUUUAUUUUUCUUCUCAAUUCAUUUAAAGUAAAUAGUUUGGCUUGGAACAAGUUAUUUAAGGAAUCUUAUUUUUUAUUUAAUUAAAAUGCAAUACUAAUUAUAAAAUGAUCAAUUUAUAUAGAUAUAAAAUCAUGUACAUUAUAAUUUAAAAAAAUUACAUAAUUUAAUCAUAUAAAUAUUUAAAGAAAAGGGUAAAAUACCCUAACUCUACUAAAUUUUAAUCGAGUUUACAUAGAAUUAUUAAUUUUUGAAAUAGAUACUCCGCUCUAAGAUUACAAACACUGUUAACAGAAAUAAUAAAAAAAAUAAAAAUACUCUAUUUUAUUAAUUUAAAAAAUUAAUGUUAUAUUUUUAAAAACAUAAAAACCAUUGAUCCUCCCGAGCUCCCCCGUAGAGGGGAGCACUAACUGAUGCUCCCACGGUGCUCCCCAAAGGAGGGGAGCCCGAUGAAGGCUCCCCAAUGGGGAGUUUUUCUUUUAAAAAAAUUAAUAAAUUUAUAUAAUUGUCAUUAUAAAAAUUAAUUAAGAGUAAAAUUAUCUUUUUACUCUUACCACAUUGAUAAAUUGACAAAAGUAACAACAAUCGACUAACAACUGAACCUGCAUAUUCGAAAUGUUCAUUUUAAAAAUAAAUGAAUCUCUGUAUAAUUCCAAUAAAAAUUUAAAGAAAUCAAGAUAUUUUACCCAAAAAAAUAUCAUCUACAAACAAAAACAACCCCAAACUAUGCAUAAAAUGAAAAAUAAAUAUCAUCAAAGCUAGAACAAGGCUUUCAGAAAAAGAAAAAAAUAAAAGAAAAGCUAGAAUCAAGGCAUUCAAAAUUACAUUCUCGUUUGUAAUCAAUUUUCUUAUCAAUCUAUCAUAUAACUCUUGCAAUCUCAUUCUCAAAAACAGGAACAAACUAAGGAUAACUACAAGGGCUUGCUAAUACCUCAACACAGUUAAAAGUUAAUUACACGAUUUAUACCGCCUGAUUGCUAUAGCAUGCAUAAAUCCUGUUAAGCUAAACACUUCUCUUUACUCUAAACCUACAACACAGCAACAGUAACUGGAAACAGGCCUUCCAGUUACACACCUCAUGAGCCAAUGACCAAACAGAAGAUACAUGCAUGAAGAACAAAUAUGGGGUACAAGUGGUAAGAAGCUUCAACCACAAUUCCAUGGAACAUAAAGUCUUAUCUGGUAGAGACUUCACACUGUUUCCUGUAUAUAUGACAUGUAUAUUUACAACUGAACAAUACACUCAAAUCAUUAAGUUGGAGGAAGUUUAUCCAAGGGUUUGAUUGCCGCAACUCCACUGAGAUCAUGACUCAUGUAUUUUUCAUAUGUGACCUUCAACUGUCCUGAUCUGGCAGCUCUUUGGAAUCUUAAAAUCAUUUCUGCACACUCCCUGUUGACAAUCAAGCAUAAUUAAACAUCCACGACUAAAAAGACCUACAAAAGAUAAUAAGACUUUAAAGAUAUGUGCCUGAUUUCUGACACGUCAUAGCGUGCAUAUCUGCAAAGCAAUGGGGUCCAGGAUGGAGCCAUUUGCAGGGUACACCGAGCAACAUAGAUAGCUGAUGCACAUAGCAAGGACGCCUUGAACUUCAAAGCUUCAUAUUCAACUAAGCACAGCUCAAUGAGGUAAAACGCUAGAUGUUCAAGCUGAAAGCAAUAUCCAUCACAAGUAACAGAAAUUGUCAACAUACUUUUAAACAAUCAGUAUGUCCAAGUUAGAAGAGUAAAGAAUACCUAAUAUCAAAUACAAAUCUAAUAAAAGCUCCCUAUAUAUCAAAUAUAACUGAUCCAAUAUGUGUAAAAGCUGCCUCCUUUUCUUUCUUCACCAUUUUUUAAUGGGAAUUUUAGGUUUUAUUAAAUAGCUGAUUCAGCAGUGACAUUCUAAAUGCUAUGACAUACCUUGGUGUCUGAUUGAGCAGCCCUGAUAAACCUUAACAUGAAAACAUAGGGAGUAGGUGCAUUUAGGCGAAACUUCAACUUUUUAAGGAUAAGCUUCUCCUGCGAAUUGAAGUUACUUUGUAUUGUUAAGAACAAUAAAGGCAAACACAGGUUGGGCAAAAUUUAAGUCACUGAAGAUGCUUGAAUGAUAGCUAAAUCUAUCUGAGUCAUGUGGGUUUUGGGUUAGAAGUAUGACCAUAGGUUAUGAUUGUGCGUUCUAGCAUAAGGGUUGAAAAUAAUAAAAAUACACAAACCAGAUAGAUUCCAAGUCCAAAUACCAAGUUUACUCCUUACUAAAGCAAACAAUAAUUCAUGUACAAACCAUGUUCAUUUCUCAGAAGUUUAAACUCCAUAUCAAAAGAAAGUGCAUACCAUUUUGAGCAUUUGUUCACUAGUGUAAGUCUCAGCAGAUAUACUGAUUAAAUCUUUGACCUGUAAAGGAUGAAGGGCAUAAAAUUAAAUGAGAACAUGAUUUUUGCAAGGACUCAACUUUGAAAAACAAUUAUGAUACCAUGCAAAAGUGACAUUAAUAUUUACCCUGGGAUGCCAAAAAUCCUCAUAUUUUGAUGCCAGCAAAAGAGUAGUAAGACCAACCAACUGCAUAUCAUUCUUCUUUAUUUGGACCUCUGAGAGAAAUCGAUCUAACAAGGUGACCAUGAGAUAAAGUGUUUCUUGCAUUAAAUCAAAUCUGAGGUGCACCUGUUAUAAGAGUUAUGAAGGACAGAGCAUCUAAAAUGAGCAAGCUGGAAAUCUUAUAAGUUACACAGGGUAAAACACUAUAAUGAACAAAAAGGUGCAUUAACACCAUGUGAAACAAAAUGUACCUCAAUCAGCCAGUUGACCAAUAUGCCCCUCAUACAAGGAGUAAUAUCUGUCUGCAUUGACAUAUAAUUUUCCAGAGAUGCAUUCUGUGCCUGCAGAAUAUAAAGUUCAUUUUAAGCAAAAUUAUCUAGUUACCCAAGCAUUGCCAAAACAGGUCCAAACAAUUGGGCAUUGAGAUAAGUAGACUUAUAUCAACAACGUUGGAGUUUGAUGUACAUAGAUUUAGAAAUGUCAACAACAGAGGUGCAAAGCUAAACCAGAAAAUGAGAAAUGGAUCAACAGUGAUUGAUUAAUAGGUAGGCAACUACAACUAAAAAACCAUAUCUCUGCUACUCUUUUACUUUCACUUUAAAAGCAGAUGUUCUGUUUCUAAUGAAGAAUGAAUCUCUGUUUUAGAAAAGCCCAUAUGGCACUACAACAAAAUAUUAUCCUUAAAUCAUCUAAUCAGCAACUCUCUAACUUUCUUUUUGAUCGAGAACAAACAAAUUAAGGAUAAUUACUGAUGACUGUUUGUUUACUAUGUUACUGUUUAUUCAGCUGAGUCAAUCCAUUUUACAAUUGAUCCGUGUUAUCAGUCUCUCUCCUAUAGCUACUUAUCAUUAGAUCAAGCCCCUUACAAAUAUAAUUAUAGGAUGUUAUGUUAAUAUCAAGAGAGAUGCAUUCCCAUGGUCUGGCUUCUCUCAGUGUUCAAGAAGGAUCUUAAUUGCAGUGCAAUAUGCCUAGCACCCAGACCACAGUAAGCUAAAAGCAUUUCUAGAAAGAUAAGUAAUGGAAGAAAGAUGAUCCUAAUGAACAAGUACCUCAGUAAUCCAAUAAUAUUGAUAAAUCUCAUCAACGUAUUGAGCAACUUCCAAUGGAUUACCAUCAUUAUCAAUGCCUGGUAGCUUUUCUUCUUCCUUGACUCCACCAUAAUCCUCUAAUAGCUGCAAAAUAUUCUUAAUAGUCAUUCAACUUCACAGUGUAGUUAAGACAUUACUGUAGAUUUUACUGGGGCCAAACCUUUGAUCUUGUCAUCAAUAAGGAUGUAUAAGAUCUCCUACGUGUAGUUUUCUUCCGGGAAAGGAUAUCUGGCAUGUUGGUGCUAGCAUCACUGUUGCCAUUAGAAGGAAGAUCCCUCCGAUUGAUUUCAUUGGAAAUUAUUGUUGCAUUAUUUUCUGUAUGAGAACACAAUAAAUCUUUCUCGGAUGAGAUAGCAGCAACAUAUACUGGUUUCUUGAAACCUGAUGAACACUUGGAUUUUGAAGUUCUUUGAGCAUUGGGAGCCCUGAGUGCAGUCUUAACAAUUGGCUGGGCAAUGAAUGACAUCAAAGCAGCUCAUAUAAGCAUAAUUGGGUAAUAUGCACACAUAAACAUGAUUAUGGUAGCCAGAUAACCAUAAGCAAACUCAGAAAGUAUAAGGCAAAAGCAUUAGAAAAUGAAGCAAACUAAUUGAAAAACAAAGCAUUGAAGGCACAUAUAGCAUGUCACAUACCUUGAAAGAUCUUGGCAAGAUACUAGCGGCUGCAUUAGAUUGAACUUUAGGAGGCCUAGUUACAAAAAAAUCCAAAUUAAUCAUCAGGCUUCAUACCUUUAGGCCUUUCAGGACCAAUCACCAUUAAAAUUGACACAAAUGAGCUCCAAUUUGAAAAAAAGAAUGCGAUUUAAUAUUUGAAUAGACUACAAAUUUUUGGUGGUAAAUUCAUCAUUUAAAGUAGGUGACUAUAGCACUUCACUUCCGUCACUAUCGAGACUUUACAAGGAGCAAAAAGAUAGGCCAUGGAACAGCUCCCACUUUCUCCCUAGAAACCAAGUUAUCUUGAACAUGUCAACAGUACAAUUUGCAAAGCCAGGUGUCUGUAUCUAAGCAUCAGGGUUGGCACCAACUUUUUUUUCCUUAUAUUUCCCAACUUAUUUGCAAUGAAGGUAUAGACUCAAGAUAUUGAUAAGGCAGUCCUCUUUCAGUUUCCAUAUUUACCACUUCAAUGUAGGACACUGUACCUUCUAAAUAUUUACCUGUGAAUACCAUGUUUUCCUACAUUGUCUCCAAAAAUCAAAACAACAAAAAUGAAAAGACAAAAUGAUUAAAUCGGAACAAAACAACAUUAUUCAAUCAGAACAAGAGCAUAUUUAUUUUUCACGCACUUUCCUUUUCUUAUGUGAAGCAUAACCAAGAUUGACCGCAAGCAUCAUUCAUAUUCUUUUUGCUACAAAGCUAGUAUAUAAUAUUUUCGGUAACCUGAAAAUAAUAUUAUAAAUCCAGAACAUCGGAAAGCUAAAAUUCUGGACUGCGGCAACCUUGAACUGCAUGAAACAAUUCAAGGAAUAGAGGAAUAAGUCUUCAGCCUUAUUUCUCUAAAUUACUUUUUCUUGUACUCACUGAUAUCUAAAUGUGUAAUUCAUUUAUGUUUUUGAUUCUGACAUUAAUAUAAGAGAUUAUCCAAUAAUCAUAGCAGAGUAAAGAACCAGAAUGAAAUUAAAACUCCUGCUUACAUUAUUACAAAGCCAUCACUCUCUCGAUUCCUCCAAAGAUUGCUCUUUGCAUUGUUUGCUUGCUGUUUAGCACUUGCACAGACUUUAGCCUUAACUGAUAAAAAUAAGGGCGAGAACAGAAAGGAAACACCAUCUUAGUCGAUGAACUCUGUGCUUGCACAUUUGGAAAUUUAAGAGAAAUGAAUCAUGCAUCUUACUCAUACUCCUGCUAGGUUCUGUAGUUUUUUCCUGCAGAAAAAGGGGAGCAAGACAUUCAAAACACAGAUAAGAGGCAGAUACAAUGCACAACCAACAAGAAAAUAUGGUGAGAAAAAAGAGGGGUAGCACUAUUUUUUUUUUUUUUGAAACAAAAUGAAAGAAAUAUGUUCAAUAGCCUCGAACAAUGUCACUUUGCAAAGGCUUGGUUCACCUUCUUUAAAACUGGUAAAGACUUCCUUCAAGAAGAAUAAGGAAAUAAGAAAUUGCAUCAGUGGAGGUAUUAUAUACGUUCUUUUAAUCAAUUAAUCCAAAUAGAGUGCUUAGAUUCACUAACCUCAUGGGUACAAGUGAGCUGUUGGUUGACCUGAAGAAUUAAAGAAAAUAUAAUGUAAAACUAUUAAUUGAAGUGAGCAUAACUUGGUCGGAAAAUUUAAAACAGUAGACAUACUAGCAGGUUUCACACUACCUCCAAAAAAAAAUCUGAAACUCAAAUUAACAGUGUACCUGCUGGUAGUAACAACAAAUUUACGAUCUGAAUUCUUGGUUUUAUUGCUUUGGUCAUUCAUGGAGGUCUUCAGAUUUUUAAUACCUUCUGUUCUCAGAAACCAGAAAUUUCUUAUAUGCUGUUCAAUCAGCGAAAGUCACCAAAAAAAAUUUAUAAUUAAUAGCUGGCUACCUGUCUUAGAAGUAUGAACACCAAUAGCACCUUGGUCUAGAUGGUCCUUCUCUUUUCCCUAUUUUAAAAGAAAUUGUGAAAUAGAUCAAUUCCUUGAAAACUCCAUAAAAAAUGGAAAACAAAAGGUGAUGACAUCAAGAAAACUAAAAUGGAGGAUUAGCUGCAAACCUUGCAAUACUUCAAAAACUGUCUCUUGCUUAUAGAUGAAAAUCAAAUGAAUAUAUCAAAACUACCUCACAAAUAAUGUUCAUUAAUUGUGGACUUUUUGUGUGCAAUUUAAUUUCCAAAUUACAGGUUCCAUAAAUAUGGGAAUAAAACCUUCAAAUAACUAAAAUAGAUUAGCAGUUUAAAAGUCUUAAACUCCAUCCAAGAACUUAUCAAACCCAACUAGAAAAAGAAAUGCUAGAUCAUAUCACUCUCAUUGCUUAUACUUGUCCAUCAAUAGUUUCUCAGCUUUGUUCAAUAAUCUAAAGAUCUCUUCUAUCUUCUUACCUCUCAUCCCCUAGAAACCCAUUUGGUGGAUUUAAAUAUUUUCAUGAUUAUGAUAUCAAUAGUCCAUAUGCCAUUAAGAAUAGCAGUCAAAGUAGUUGCACUAACAGUUUUCCAGCUUUUAGUAAUUUACAAUAAUUUUCUCCCCUGGAAUGAGCUCAUAUUGUUUCAGUGGCUUGUCAGGGAGGGGAGAAAAAGAAAAAAGCGUUAAUUUUUUAUUCAGUUCUUGUACCUUGAAAGAUUUCGUGGAGAAGACAUUCACAGUUCUUGCAGCUGGAGCCACGGAAACUCUGCAAAUAAAGUACUUUGCGCAUGUUAACUGCCAUCUAAUAAACAAUAAAAAUUUAAUACAAGUAUUCAUCUAGAAAUACUUUUACAGGGCUAUUAUCUUCUUCCAUAGCAUGUUACAAAGUUGGUAGACAUCCAUUGAGGAUAAAUGGAACUUUUAAACAUUCAAUAACAAUGGAAACAGACAAAGAGGGAAAGAGAGAGAGGCAAGGAAAGGGAUGUGGAAGUAUGUCAACAAAAAGUAAAUGAUAAGAUAAAUCAUAAAGUGGAGCUGAAUUACACACAAAAGGAAACACAUUGCACCCAAAAAAAUACCAGGAGAAACACAUGCUUGGACCAUAAAAAUGAAAAAACAAACAAGGUUUACUCUUAAAUAAAUUUUGAUAACUUUAUCCAUAAUAAUAUCAAAUUGAUUGACAAAAUUAACGAGGGUCUAUAGGUCCUGAAAUCCUGGAAAUAUCAGUUCCACAUAUAGGACACAAUAACACCAAUUAGCUUUCAUACCCUUCCAAAAAUGCAUUUCUCUCAUUCUUCCUGCAUUACAAAAGAGCAAGUACUGAUAAACAAUCAAUGCAAUACCAGCAAGUGCUAAGAAUUCAAAGUAUAACAUUUGACUCACUCACAUUGGUUUGGAGCCAUCAUAAACUUUAGUUGCAGAAACAUUAGAAGUACGAUUGCUAAGAUCUGCCAAAGCUUUUCUUUGAACAAUUUUGUUUGCUGAAAAUGGGGCAUAUAAAGAACGAUAAAUAACAUUCCAACAGCCUGGAAUUAGACGCUUAUGACAAAUUUGUUAGAGAUGAACCAUACCAGAAGUAUCACGCUUGGCUUUACUAUUUGCCAUAUUCUUCAAAGCGCCCUUUAAAUUAUAUUCGAAAGUUACACAUCAACGUAAAAUCCAGAGCUUGAAACAUUACAUGCUUAAAUAAUAAAAGCAAUGAAAUUAGUAUUAACCUUCGAAUCACUUGCAGUAGUCAGAGGGGCUCCUUUGCUACCUACGGCUGACUUCAUCCUAGAAAAAAAGAAUAAUUAAAUAAAAUGUAAAAUCAGUUUGGAAAAUAAUCAAAUUAUUUUUUUUUAAAAAAGAAAGACAUAGUUCUAUAACAGAAGCAAACUUACAUAGUAGAGGCUUCAUUUUUGGGCUUUUCAUUUUGCGAAUAAAUUUUGAAACCUUUAGACAGGGCAAAAGAAAUCAAGAUUGAAGGUGAACAUAUCUAAAAGAGAAAAGGUAAUCGGAAUAAAGAAAGAAGGGAACGAGUACAGUACCACUCCUGCGAGUGAAACCGUGUGCAGCUGCUUUACUAACACCUGCUUUUCCCUGGAAUGAAAGAAUAUAAUCAUGGAUAUGAAACCCUAACUAAUUGUGUAUUAUAUCAAAAUUCAAAAUCAAAGAAAGAAUUAUGAAACGAAACGAGCGAAGGCAUUAUUAUAAUUAUUAAUUAAUUAAGAAGAAAAGGCAGUGAGAUCAAAAUCAAAAAACCUUGAGAGAUGUCAUGUUCUUGGAUCUUUCUUGAUCUGUUCUUCUUGGUUAACCGUUGCUUUUGAAAUCUGAGAUCUAUGAAGUCGCCCGCCUGUCUUCUCCACUUUUGCGUUUCAAAUUGUUUCUCAUUUUACCAUUAUACCCUCCCUUCUUUUCCAUGGGAAUUGGAAUAAUUUUCUAUUAUUUUGUUUACGUAUCUUGUGACUAGAUAAAUUUAUUACCGGAAAAUGGCAGUUAAUAGGUGAGGUUGACCUUCUUGUAAGGUCAAAUAAUAGAAUUAAAAAAAUAACCAAAAACUUGUUAAAUAGUUUAAUAGGUAAAUAAUGUGUGUAAUAUAUAAUUUUAUUUAUUUUAUACUAAAUAGUAUGUAAGUUUUAUUUUUAAUUUCACUCUUUUACAUUGAGAUAUAAAUAUUAUUUUUCUACAUUAAUAUUAUAUUAAAUACUUUAAUUAGGUUUUUUUUUUAAUUGGGAGAAAGGGCAUUCAAUUCGAUUUCUACUCUUUAGACAAGGAAUCAUGCACCAACUAAUACACUAAAUGCCCAAGUGCAAUUACUUUAAUUAGGUUAAUGUCACGACCUAGAACUCUCAUCGAACCCGUAACAACCGUCGCGACGUCCCGAUAAACAUUCAUUACUCGGAAUGUCAAUCGAAACCUCGCAACGCUUAACAUCAGUUUUUCUCGCUUCCCCCAUAAAUAUUAGUUACUAAAAUCAUGUUUUGAGAGAUUAUAAACUAUUUCGGAUUUAAAACAAUAGAAAAAUAAAUUUUUCCUCACAGGGGCAUUUUGGUCAUUUUUUCUCAAAAAUCUCAAAAUCCGCUAAAAUGUAGUAAGCGAGUACAAACACGUAAUUCAUAAUCAAAAAUAAGUUUAAACAUCUAACACCUUCAUUUAAAAUGAAAUUACGAUUAUUUGAAUAUAAUAAAAAUAUUUAAUAAAAUAUUCUAUUUUCUUAUUAAACACUAUUUUUAGAGUUAUACGUAAAUAAUUUUUUUUGCAGCGUAAAGCAAAAUAAAUUCAUAUAUAUUGUGAUACAGUAAACCAAAAUAUUUAAUUUAAUUUACAAUAACCAGUGGGCCCCCGUAUAACCAAAAGUAAAAGGAGACUGAACCUACAGUUUGGAAGAUGCAACCCGAUGGUAGCCUCGGUGAAAUCAGCUAUCUACAGCCUAUUUUGAGCCUGAAAUUGGUGGAAAUGAGGGUGGUGAGAUUUUAUAAUCCCAGUGAGUAAACAAACACCAUUCAAAAUGAAAUACCCCAUACUUUGAUAUGGUGAUAAAUAAAGUUGAUCGAAUACAAAUUGAGGUCAAUUAAAAUGUUUAAAAGUGAUAAAAGACGAAAGGAGUAGUUUAGGAUAAAAUAUUUCAAAAGUGAGAAAAUAAUAAUAAAAUAAUAAUAAUUUUAUCGAAGGAGAAUUUGCAAGAUAAAAGGCGAUUCGGAAGUCAAGUGAGGCAUAAUAAGGUAUUUUGGGUAUCAAGGAGACAAGAUAAAAUUUUUAGAAUAAAAUAAUAUUUUAUUAAUGAAAUAAUAUUAAAAUAUUAAUAUUUAAUCGGAUGUCAAAAUCGGUCAUCAAGAAGGAUCAUAUGGUUGAUCCAAGUGGGGGAGAAGAUGACAAGCCCGACUCUAUAAAAAUAUUUGUCAUGACAUACAUGUGAUGGAUAGNNNNNNNNNNNNNNNNNNNNNNNNNNNNNNNNNNNNNNNNNNNNNNNNAAUUUACAAAAGUCGGUAUUGUACCUAGAGGUACAACAAAGUUGAUUUAAGCCUCGAACUAGAUCAAAUAGAGAAUUUACGAUGAAAUUAAGAAUUUUAACGUCCCAGAAUGGUUUAAUAUGGUAAUUCGGAGUUCGAAGAUCAAUUUGGAGUCAAAUCGAAAUUUUCGCUAUCUAGGGGCAAAAUGGUCAUUUGUCACUUGGGGAUAAAAUGAGAAUUUUAAAAAAGAUUAUUUUGGCUCCAUUUGACUUAUUGGAGUAUAAUUUGACUUAUUGGAGUAAGAUUUGAGGUUUAGAAGUGAAAAAUUUUAAUUUCGAUAUAAUUUAGAGUAUAGAGGUAAAAUGGUAAUUUUACCACCCCAGGGGCAAAACAGUAAUUUUUUACCACCAGGACAUUUUUUCAGCACAUGGUCAUCUCUUAUCCUCAUUUUGACCAUUGACUAAUUGUGUGGUGGAGAUAAAAAGGAUUAAAAUUUUAAAGUUUUAAAAACGGGCCAAUGACAUAAUGCCACGUGUCAUGCCUUUAUUAAUUUAUUAUUUUCCUUUUUAAAAGGUACAAAAAUCAGGUCAUCUUCGACCCCAUGGCCGGCCAAACCAGCAAGAAGAGAGAGAAAAUAAAAACAAAACCCUAGAGAGAGAAAAACAAAGAAAAAGUAUGAAUUUUCAAAGAAAUUAAGUGAAAAAUGUAUGAAUUUUCAAGCUUAGCUUAAAAUUUAUCAUUUCCAUGCAUUUCCCAUCAUUUUCCAUGGUUGAAUCAUGUGAUUUGAGGAUGAAUUCAAUUCUGAAAAAUGGGUUAGGAGAGAGAAACUUGUUAGAUUAAUUUGAUUUUAAGUUAUGUUAGUGUUUUAAGUUAGUUUAGUAUAUUUAGGAACAAAACAACAAGAAAAGAAUUCAUUUUCCUCCAUUACCAUUAUUGGCUGAAUUUUCUAGGGGAAUAUUGGCUGUUGAUCUUGAUAUUUAUUUGAGGAAUUAUGAUGAAUAAUGAUAAAUUAUGAGUCUAGAAAAAUAAUGGGAAUUUUCGGAGCAAAAAUACGAAUUUUUACCCAUUAGGGGUAUUUUCGUAAUUUGCUAUCGGGACUGAUAAUUUGCACCACACUGAGGAACAUUAAGUCAAUUUGGGUGCAAUUGAGGUAUAGAAACUGAAAAAAAUUAAUUUGAGAUUAAAUUGGACGCGUUAGUAAUUUAAUCGGUUAAUAGGCCGAAUUAGGUCAGCACUGCAUUUAAGCGGUAGUCGGAUAAGUUGCAUGUCAUAUCAUGCAUAUAUACCGAGCCUGAAUUGAUUUUAUAAUGGUCAAGCAUUGAUGUGGUGAAUUAUGUAUUGUACAUUGUGGAUAGGUGGUGAGCAAAUUACACUGAUAAAAGUACAGAGAUUGUGCUUGAAGAUUGGGGUUAGGAGUAUAUCGACUCCUAGAACUGUGAGUGGACAAUUUAUCGUCUUAAAUAUCUAGAGUAAUUAUAUUUGUUUGAUACUUUUAUUAAAUGGAGAGUUUAAAUUAGAAAAUAUUAUGUUUUCCAAUUAAAAUGUUUUUUUUAAUAAAAAUGAGAUUUAUAUUGGUUUUGAAAUCAAAUAUUGUUUUGGAAAAAUUGAGUAUAUGGAGACUGUGUUGAAAUUUAUGAUUUUAUAUGUUAUUGAAAUUGGGGCUUAUGACACUAUGGUAGCAUGAUGGCUAAAAUUUUGGGAUUGGCAUGAAAUAUAUGAAUAGUUUUGGAUUGGUCUCGGUAGACUGGAUUAAAUUUUAUUCGCCAUAUUAUGCUGCUGAAAAUUUUAUGGGUCUGGUGGUAUAUUAAACGGUCACUGCAGUGGUGGGGGUUUCCGUGGACUGCCUAUGAGAGGGGCACGGUAACCCAAUUAUAUACUUACCUUCAAGGGGAGAUGUUGGGUGAAGUAUCUCCUGAGGUAUGAUUUGAGUGCACCUCACGUUCGGGCCACCACGUGAGAGUGAGACUCAGCCAACGCCAAGGACCAGCUGUGUGUCAGAUGUGAAAACAUGUUUAUGGGUAUGGGUCAUUGAACAGCCUUGGCGGUCUCAGUGGGAUACCUUGACGAAGGUACCCGCGAGAAUGAUUCUGGCAAGGGCCAAGUUUAAGAAAUUCAUAAGCCGAGAAAUUUUGAUGAAAAGAAAUUAUUUGGUAUAGAUUGAAACGAAUUUUGUGUUAUGAACAUUAUUGAGAUAUAAUGUUUUUAAAUUGUCUCCAUCUACUCGGCUUUAGAUGCUUUUGAUGGUAAUUGUUUACUCACUGGGAUUAUUUAAUCUCACCCCUAUUCUUAUCCAUUUUUCAAGCUCAGGACAGUUUGUUGAUAGUUGAUUAAGACGAGAAUUAAUCUCAGAGUUGCAUCCUAGAAAGUAAGGGUUCGUAGCCCUACAUUUUCUUAGUCAGUUGGGGGCCCACAUGUCACUGUAAAAGUAAUUUUAUUCUUCAGUUAUUUGAUUUAAAGUAUGUAUUAAUAUAUUUAGCUUUUACACCAUGUUUUUGGCGAGUUUCGAUAUUUUUGAAGAAAAAUGAUGAAAAUGCCCCUGUAAGCCAGAAAGUAAUAUUUUAUUGUUUUGAUUUGGAAAUGACUUAUGAUUUUUUUGAAAACUGAGAUUUAAUAACUGUCGCUCACUGGGGAGAUGCGGAAGCUGAUGCUAAGCCUUGCGAGGUUUCGAUCGACAUUCAGGGUAAUGAGUGCCUAUCGGGACAUCGCGACGGUUGUCACGGGCUCGAUGGGAGUUUCGGGUCGUGACACAAAAUAUCUAAUGUUGAGUAAAAUGAGACAAUUAAAAUAUUCUAUCUCAAUAUGUAUUUCAUAACAUAAAUAUUCAUUUCAUUUAAAUAAUCAACAUGGCUUAUGAGUAUCUUAAAAGCUUGGCUCCUGCCAAAAUCAUUCUCGAAAAUACCUUGGUCGAGGCAUUUAACCGAGUCUGUCAAGGCUGUUAAAAAGUUUUGUAUACACAUAAACAUAUUUUUAGUUUGGAAAACACAGUCGUUCCUUGGCAUUAGCGGAGUUCAUCAUCACGAGGUGGUUCGACAUGACGUGAACUCUAACCAUACCUCAAGAGAUACCCUACGCGCCUCUCCAACUGAGGUACAUAUAUAACCGGAUUCCGUGCCCCUCUAAUAGGCUGGUCCACAAAACCCGCCCACUACAACAAGCUAAACCCACCAUACAAUAAAAUUUUGACAACAUAACGUGACUAAUAUUAUACUACCCAGCCUGUAGAUGUAAAACAGAACAAUUCAUAAAGUUCACAAACCAUAAUCUCAGCCAGUCAUGCCAACACAUAAUCAUAAGCCAUCAAUUAAAGCCAUAAAUUCCAACACAUCAAGUGGUCUCUAGUUACUCUAUUUUCAAAGCCAUCAUUCAAUUUCAAUAUAAUUUUAUGAAAUCAUUUCAUUAAAUCACAUUUUAUUUAUAAAAUUGAAAAAUUAAUCAUUUAAUUCAUUUUUCAUAAAAUUCACAAAAUCGAAUAAAAAGACCACUUUAGAUAAUUAAAAUGAUGAUAAGGUUACUCACAGUUCUAGGAGUUCGAUAUACUCCUAUUCUCGGUCUUCGGGCAUAAUCUCUUUACCUUUAUUAGAGGGCUCACCACCUAUACAUCAUACGUGACACGAAUUUCAAUAAAUUAUAUCAAUUUAUCAUAAACUAUUUUAGGCUUUAUAAAUCUAUAGGAAUGCAUGAAAUGUGAUGCAAAAUGUCCGAAUAACCGUUUAAAUACGGUAUUCGACUUAAUUCGCACUAUUCUCAGUGUAAUUGGCUAAAACCUCAAAUUUAACUCCAAAUCGAUUUCUUUCACUUUCUACACUCCAAUUAUACUUAAAAUACCUCAAUGACUGUGAAUAUGAUUCAAUUUAUCAGUCCGAACCAUAAAUCGCACAUGUUUAUAGGUAAAAAUUCAGAUUUUCAUGCCAAAAUUUCUCAUUAAAUUUCUAGCCUCACCAAUCAUUAAAUACCACCAAAAUAUCAUGAAAUCAUCAACUUCAGCCUCAAUAUCCUCCCUAGAAAAUUUGGCCUCUUGUGGGUUUGUGAAGAACAAAGUGAUUCCUUGCUAGAUUUUCAUACUUUCCAUUACCAAACAACUAAAAACACUUAAUUAGCUUGAAAUCUAGCAAAAUCAAUGCUCAAAACCUCUCCUCUUAAAUUCGGCCAGCAUGGGUUCAUCAUACAAACUUGAGUUCUAAGCAUGAAAAAUGAAAAAGAAAGCAUGGGUAGUGUAAAUCACAAGAUAAAAUCAUAAAAUUUUACUUUUAUUAGCUUAAUUCCCUGAAAUCUCACACUUUUUCUUCAAUUUUCCCACCUAGGAUUUGUGUUCUUUCCUUUCCUCUUCACUUUUUGUUUUGGGCGGCCAUAUGAAGGAAAUAAGCUGAUUUUAUGCUAAUUUUAAAGCUAAAUAAUAAAUGGAUACAAACUUGACACAUGUCACCAUUUCAUUGGUCCAUGUCUCAUACUUACCCAUUAAGCAAUCUCUCUCCACCACUUAAAUUUUCUCAAUUAUCCAUGAUAAUAUUAGGUAAAAUUCAUGUGCUGGACAAGUGUUGGGUGGUGUAAAAUUACCAUUUUGCCCAUAGGGUGGCAAAAUGACUAUUUUACCCCUAUGUUCGAAAAAUAUCGGAAUUAAAAUUUUUCACUUCUCAAACUCAAAUUAUGUUCUAAAUAGUCAAUCUUGAUCAAAAACUUCUUCCAACAUUCCAAUUUUAACCUCGAGUGGCAAAAUGACCAUUUUGCCCCUGAAUCAUGAAAAUUCUAAUUUGACUUUAAAUCGGUCAUCGAACUCUGAAUCACCAUUUUAAGUCAUUUUGGGACUUUAAAAUUUUCAAUUUCAUCUUAAAAUCUCUCUUUGAUCUAGUUUGAGGCUUAAUUCAACUUAGUUGCACCACUAGGUGCACUACUGACUUUUGAUAAUUUUUUGAGGCUUUUCAAGUAUGCAAGCAUAUUGUCAAUCACAUGAAUGACAUGGCAAGUAUUUAUAAGGUCAGGCUUGACAGCACUACCCCUGUUAAAAUAAAAUUUUGACCUCAAAAUUUCACUUACCGGAUUCGAAGAAAAGAUGUGGAUAUUGGUUUCUCAUCUGAUGCUCGACUUCCCACGUCAUCUCCUCCAUUUGAGCAUUCUUCCACAAUACUUUCACCAUUGGAAUGCUCUUGUUCCUUAGCACUCGAUCCUUUCGAUCUAGAAUACGUACAGGCUGCACCUCGAAUUUCAAAUCUUCAUGCAACUCUAUCGGUGGUGUCUCUAGAAUAUGGGAGGGAUCGAGAACAUACUUUUUCAACAUCGAGACGUGGAAGACAUUAUGGAUCCGAUCUAACUCUGGGGGUAAUUCAAGUUUGUAAGCCACUGGCCCAAUCCUUUCAAUGAUAUGAAAGGGUCCAAUGUAUCUCGAAUUGAGGUUUCCUCGCUUCGCAAAUCGAAUCACACAUUUCAUUAUCCAAUAAAAUACCACAAUUUAUCAUAACAAUAUAAUCAAAUAAGAUUUAAUACUUCAAAAUUUUCAAAUUAUUACCUUUCCAAGGAGAAACCUUAAGAAAAACUUUAUCGUCAACUUCAAACUCCAAAUCUUUCCUUCGUUUAUCAGAAUAACUCUUCUGCCUAUCUUGAGCUAUCUUUAAUCACUCUCGGAUAACCUUAACCUUGUCAUUUGUCAGAUCAUUCAAUUCCACAUUAAUCAGUUUCCUCUCACCCAUUUCAUCCCAACAGAGCGGAGUUCGGCACUUUCUUCCAUACAGAGCCUCGUAUGGUGCCAUCCCAAUACUAGAUUGAAAACUGUUGUUAUACGCGAACUCCACCAAUGGCAAGUGUCUGUCCCAACUCCCAAUAAAGUCAAUGACACAAGCCCGUAACAUAUCUUCUAGAGUCUAAAUAGUCUUUUCAAAUUGACCAUCAGUCUGCGGAUGAAAGGCAGUGCUAAAUCUCAAUUUAGUUUCGAGAACUUCUUGAAAUUUUGUCCAAAAUUGAGAAGUAAACUGAGGGUCUCGAUUUGACACAAUAGAAACUGGAACUCCGUGCAAUCUCACAAUCUCAUCUAUAUAAAGUUUCGUCAGUUUUUCAAUAGAAUACGUGCUAUGGAUAGCCAAGAAAUGGGCGGACUUAGUCAAUCUAUCCACAAUCACCCAAAUAGCAUCCUUCCCACUCUGUGUCCAUGGUAAACCCAAUACAAAGUCCAUAGUCACGUGUUCCCACUUCCAUUCAAGAAUCGGUAAAGGCUGAAGAAUACCCGAUGCUUUCUGAUGUUCCGCCCUGAUCUGUUGGUAUGUGAAACAUUUCGCUAAAAACUCUACUAUGUCUCGUUUCAUAUCCGACCACCAAUAACUUUCUUUAAUGGUCUGAUACAUCUUGGUGCUUCCUAGAUGUAAAGCGUAGGCGGAAUAAUAAGCUUCUUCUAAAAUCGCUUGUCUCAAUUGGUUAUCCUUAGGGAUACAAACUCGGUUUCUAAGCAUCAAAGUACCAUCAUCACUAAGUCUAAACUCACUAGUUUCUCCAUCUUGCAGCUUUUGAACUUCCUGCUUCAACUCAUCAUUGGAUUUCUGCAAUUCUCGGAUCUGAUUCAACAAUGAAGGUCUCACAACGAAACUAGCAAGUAGGGUUCCAUCCUCACCAUUAUUCAACUGGAUCCCUAGAGAUUUCAUCUCAAGUAAUAUCGAAAAAUAAGAACUCUGAAAUACUACUAAUGAAGAUGAGGAUUUAUGACUUAAAGCAUCCGCUACAACAUUUGCCUUCCUCGGAUGAUAAUCAAUCACCAAGUCGUAAUCCUUAAUCAACUCCAACCAUCGUCUCUAUCUCAAGUUAAGCUCUUUUUGGGUGAGCAAGUAUUUCAAACUCUUAUGGUUGGUAAAAAUCCGACAACGCUCACCAUAUAAGUAAUGCCUCCAAAUCUUCAAUGCAAAGACUACUGCUGCUAACUCCAAAUCAUGGGUAGGGUAAUUCAUCUCAUACUUCUUCAACUACCGGGAAGCAUAGGCUAUUACUUUUUCAUCUUGCAUCAAUACGCACCCUAAUCCUAACUUAGAGGCAUCACUGUAUAUCACAAAUUCUUUCUCACCAAUCGAAAGUGUCAGAACGGGAGCGGAGGUUAACUGGUUCUUUGGCUCUUGAAAUCGACUCUCACAAGCAUCAUCCCACUCAAACUUAACUCCUUUACACGUCAAACGAGUCAGAGGAGUAGCUAUCAAUGAAAAUCCUUAAACAAACCUCCGAUAAAAACUUGCUAAGCCAAGAAAACUACGAAUCUCUGUUACCGUUUUCGGUUGCUUCCAUUGCAAGAUUGCUUCAAUCUUCUUGGGAUCGACAUAAAUUCCAGCUUUAGACACCAUAUGUCCCAAGAAAACCACUUCCUUCAACUAGAAAUCACAUUUAGAGAACUUGGCAUAGAGUUGUCUCUCGCGUAAAGUUUGCAACACGAUGUGUAAAUGGGCAGCAUGUUCAUCAUCAUUCUUCGAAUAAACCAGGAUGUAAUCUAUGAAUACUAUCACGAACUUAUCCAAGUAUGGAUGGAACACCCUAUUCAUAAGAUCCAUAAAAGCUGCCGGGGCAUUGGUCAAACCAAACAGCAUCACCAGAAACUCAUAAUACCCAUAACGCAUCCUAAAAGUAGUCUUGGGUACAUCUUGCUCUUUAAUCUUCAACUGAUAAUACCCAGACCUCAAAUCAAUCUUAGAAAACACCAUAGCACCUCGUAAUUGAUCAAAAAGAUCAUCGAUCUGUGGUAGAGGGUAUUUAUUCUUGAUGGUCACUCGAUUCAGCUGACGGUAAUAGAUACACAAUCGAAGAGUGCCAUCUUUUUUUUUACAAAUAGGACUGGUGCUCCCCAAGGAAAAGUGCUAGGGUGAAUAAAAUCCUUAUCCACCAAAUCUUGCAGCUGGACUUUUAGUUCCUUCAACUCCGUUGAAGCCAUUCGAUAUGGAGGGAUAGAAAUAGGUGCGGUACCCGGAAGUAAAUCAAUAGGGAACUCAAGCUCUCGCUCAGGAGGUAGUAUUGGUAACUCAUCAGGAAAUACGUUAAGAAACUCACUUACUAUUGGGACAUCCUCUAACCUAGGUUCCCCUUUUGAAGUAUCGAUCACGAGUGCCAAAUAAACCGGAUACCCUUUCUGUACUAGUUUCAAAGCCUUAAUGGCCGAGAUUACACAGGAUGGUAAUACUCGACGUUUCCCUGCAAAUAUAAUCUCUGUUCCCUCCGAAUUCUAAAAAAUAACUUCUUUCCUAAAAUAAUCUACAUUCGCCCGAUGUGCAGUUAACCAGUCCAUACCCAAUAUCAAAUCAAAAUGUUGGAUCUCUAGAGGAAUCAAGUCACCCCUAAAUUCUUCCUCACCAACCAUUACUCCACAAUCUUUGUAAUAACUAUUUUUAACUAGCUUCUCUCCUAAAUGAGUGUGAAUUACAAUUUCUUCCUCUAAUGGUGACAUGUUUUUAUAAACAAUUGAUGCAAAUGCCAUACUCACAUAAGACCUAUUUGAGCCAGAAUCUAUCAAAACAUAAGCAUCUUUAUCAAAUAAAAACAUAGUACCUGUCACUACUCCAGGUCGAACCCGUGCCUCAUCUUCAAUCACAGCGAAGACUCUUGUCAAAGUACGAGUCUGUGGUCUUGAAGGUGGAUACGCCGAGGUGUUACUCUCUACACUAGACUGUAUAGCCACUCCCUGCCUCAGUGGUAACCCAGAAAGAUCUCUCCUCUACAUAUCCGUACGAGCUGGUGGAGAUGGAGUAAUUGCAGUAGCCCGUCCUAGUUGUGGGCACUCACUCUUAAUGUGGCCCGGCUGAUCACAAUGAUAACAUCGUACUGGUCCCCUACACUGCCCAAUAUGAUUCUUUCCACACCUUUUGAAUCUAUCAGAACUUCUGAAACUCUUCCCAAAAUAAGUCAUCGCAGAUCUACUGAAUCUCAGAGGCCUCUGCUGUGCUUGUGAAAAUAGAGGUCGAGGAGAUGUCACUGAAACAGAGGUAGUACUCCUUGAAGCAGAUGAGUCUUUGCUCCUUUUUGGUGGUUGACUGGAAGAUAUACUCAGAUUUUUCCUCUUUGCAAACUCUGUCUGAAUCUUCCUAUUUUCAUUUGCAAGCUUCUCGGCCUUAAAGCCAUCUGUACCACCUCUUUAUGUGGCUCCCUACCAGUCACUGUCAUCCGCUCUCUAAUCUCAUUACGGAGCCCUUCCUCAAAAUAACUGGCCUGAUAUUGCUCAAAUUUCACCAGAUCCGACACAUAUAACAUCAACUCGUUAAAACGAGUCUUGUACUCCUCUACCAUUAAGUUUCCCUGUUUCAAACUCAGAAAUUCUUUCUUCUUUUUUUUCUGAUGGAAAUAAGUGAAAUACUAACCAUCAAAUUCUCUUAGAAAGUCUGACUAGGUCAGAGGAGUAGUGGAAUGGGAUUUUACUGAAUUCCACCAUGUACGGGCUCUCUUCUCUUGUAAUCUCGUGGCCACCAUUAGCUUCAGGUGAUCAUCCAACCUCAUAUCAGACAAUGUCUCCGAAACUUGAUUAAUCGAAGCUUUGGCUACGGUGGCAUCCAAAUCGCCCGUAAAAAAAAUGUAACCCAAUUGUCUAGCUUCCUUCAACUUCUUAGCAAUAGAUACAUCUUGUACUGGCGGUGGAACUAGAGGUGGGGGUGGUGGUACUGAAGGAGCAAUUGGUGGUACUAUAGGAGGAGCUUGACUAGCUUGAGCCUGGCCAACAAUAGCGGUAAAGAAAGCUGCUAAUGCUUGGACUACCUCAGGAGACAUGGCAGGAGUACCAGUAGGUGGCAGAGGAUGUGAAGAAUGUGGAGAAUGUGGAGGAGUCUCGGCCUGCUCAGCAGCAGGUGCUUCCCGAAUGGUGAAUGCAGCCGGUUCCUCCUUUACUGCAUCUAGUUGACGACGUUGGGAACGACCUCUUCCCCUCCCAACCGAUCUAGUGAGAGGUAGGAGUCCACGUCGAGGAGGCAUGGCAAUCUAUACAAGGGAACAAGGCAAAUUUAAUCAACCUUAGACUUUAUAUGUAGUUGCAUACAUUCUAUUCAACCUAACCUAACUUAACUUAACUUAACUAGGGGCCACACUGACACUAUAAAUUUUAAAAUGACUUUAAAACUAAAAACUCUGAUCUUUAAAACCAAAAACUCUGAUACCAAUCGAAUUGUCACGACCCGAAACUCCCAUCGAGCAGGUGACAACUGCCGCGACGUCCCCGAUAGACAUUCAUUACCCAAAAUGUCAAUCAAAACCUAGCAAGGCUUAACAUCAGUUUUCUCGCUUCCCCCAUGAGUAUUAGUUACUAAAAUCAUGUUUUGAGAGAUUAUAAACUAUUUCGGAUUGAAAACAAUAGAAAAAUAAAUUUUUCCUCCCAGGGGCAUUUUGGUAAUUUUUCCUCAAAAAUCUCUAAAUCCGCUAAAAUGUAGUAAGCGAGUACAAACACGUAAUUCAUAAUAAAAAAUAAGUUUAAACAUCUAACACCUUCAUUUAAAAUGAAAUUACGAUUAUUUGAAUAUAAUAAAAAUAUUCAAUAAAAUAUUCUAUUUUCUUAUUAAACACUAUUUUUAGAGUUAUAUGUAAAUAAUUUUUUUUACAGCGUAAAAGCAAAAUAAAUUCAUACAUAUUGUAAUACAGUAAACCAAAAUAUUUAAUUUAAUUUACAAUAACCAGUGGGCUCCCGUAUAACCAAAAGUAAAGGGAGACUGUGAACCUACAGUUUGGAAGAUGUAACCCAACGGUAGCCUCGGUGAAAUAAGCUAUCUACUGCCUAUUUUGAGCCUGAAAUGGGUGAAAAGGAGGGUGGUGAGAUUUUAUAAUCCCAGUGAGUAAACAAACACCAUUCAAAAUAUCUAAAGUUUAGUAAAAGGAGACGAUUAAAAUAUUCUAUUUCAAUAUGUAUUUCAUAACAUAAAUAUUCAUUUCAUUUAAAUAAUCAACAUGGCUUAUGAAUAUCUUAAAAGCUUGGCUCCUACCAAAAUCAUUCUAGAGAAUACCUUGGCCGAGGCAUUUAACCGAGUCCGCCAAGACUGUUAAAAAGUUUUGUAUGCACAUAAACAUAUUUUUAGUUUGAAAAACACAGUCGUUCCUUGGCGUUAGCGGAGUUCAUCAUCACGAGGUGGUUCGGCGUGAUGUGAACUCUAACCAUACCUCAGGAGAUACCCUACGCGCCUCUCCAACCGAGGUACAUAUAUAACCAGAUUCUGUGCCCUUUUAAUAGGCUGAUCCAUAGAACCCGCCCACUGCAGCAAGCUAAACCCACCAUACAAUAAAAUUUUGAUAGCAUAACAUGACUAAUAUUAUACUACCCAACCUGUAGAUGUAAAACAGAACAAUUCAUACAGUUCACAAACCACAAUCCCAGCCAGUCAUGCCAACACAUAAUCAUAAGCCAUCAAUUAAAGCCAUAAAUUACAACACAUCAAGUGGUCACCAGUUACUCUAUUUUCAAAGCCAUCAUUCAAUUUUAAUACAAUUUUAUGAAAUCAUUUCAUUAAAUCACAUUUUAUUUAUAAAAUCGAAAAAUUAAUCAUUUAAUUUAUUUUCCAUAAAAUUCACAAAAUCGAAUAAAAAGACCACUUUAGAUAAUUAAAAUGAUGAUAAGGUUACUCACAGUUCUAGGAGUUCGAUAUACUCCUAUUUUUUGGUCUUCGGGCACAAACUCUUUACCCUUGUUAGAGGGCUCACCACCUAUACAUCAUACGUGACACGAAUUUCAAUAAAUUAUAUCAAUUUAUCAUAAACUAUUUCAGGCUCUAUAAAUCUAUAUGAAUGCACGAAAUGUGAUGUAAAAUGUCCGAAUAACCGUUUAAAUACGAUAUUCGACAUAAUUCGCACUAUUUUCGAUGUGAUUGGCUAAAACCUCCAAUUUAACUCCAAAUAGAUUUCUUUCACUUUCUACACUCCAAUUAUACUUAAAAUACCUCAAUGACUGUGAAUAUGAUUCAAUUUAUCAAUCCGAACCAUAAAUGGCACAUGUCUAUACAUUAGGUAAAAAUUCAGAUUUUCAUGCAAAAAUUUCCCAUUAAAUUUCUAGCCUCACCAAUCAUUAAAUACCACCAAAAUAUCGUGAAAUAUCAUCAAUUUCAGCCUCAAUAUCCUCCCUAGAAAAUUCAGCCUCUUGUGGGUUUGUGAAGAACAAAGUGAUUCCUUGCUAGAUUUUCAUACUUUUCAUAACCAAACAACUAAAAACACUUAAUUAGCUUGAAAUCUAGCAAAAUCAAUGCUCAAAACCUCUCCUCUCAAAUUCGGCUAGCAUGGGUUCAUCAUGCAAACUUGAGUUCUAAGCAUGGAAAAUGAAAAAGAAAGCAUGGGUAGUGUAAAUCACAAGAUAAAAUCACAAAAUUUUACUUUUAUUAGCUUAAUUCCUUGAAAUCCCACACUUUUUCUUCAAGUUUCCCACCUAGGGUUUGUGUUCUUUCCUUUCCUCUUCACUUCUUGUUUUGGCCGGCCAUAUGAAGGAAAUAAGCUGAUUUUAUACUAAUUUUAAAGCUAAAUAAUAAAUGGAUGUAAACUUGACACAUGUCACCAUUCCAUUGGUCCAUGUCUCAUACUUACCAAUUAAGCAAUCUCUCUCCACCACUUAAAUUUUCUCAAUUAUCCAUGAUAAUAUUAGGUAAAAUCCAUGUGCUGGACAAGUGUUGGGUGGUGUAAAAUUACCAUUUUGCCCCUAGGAUGGUAAAAUGAUUUUUUUACCCCUAUGUUCAAAAAACUAUUGAAAUUAUAAUUUUUCACUUCUCAAACUCAAAUUAUGUUCUAAAUAGUCAAUCUUGAUCAAAAACUUCUUCCAACAUUCCAAUUUUUAACCUCGAGUGGCAAAAUGACCAUUUUACCCCUAGAUCAUGAAAAUUCCAAUUUGACUCCAAAUCGGUUCUCAAACCCCGAAUCACCAUUUUAAGUCAUUCUAGGACUUUAAAAUUUUCAAUUUCAUCUUAAAAUCUCUCUUUGAUCUAGUUCGAGGCUUAAUUCAACUUAGUUGCACCAUUAGGUACACUAUCGACUUUUGACAAUUUUUCAGGGCUUUCCAAGUAUGUAAGCAUAUUGUCAAUCACAUGAAUGACAUGGCAAGUAUUUUAUAAGGUCGAGCUUGACAGUUAAACUAUCAAAUAUUUAAAUGUUAUAAUGUAAUUUAAAGGUAAAAUAUAUAUGUAAUAAUAAUAAUAUUUACUCUUAACAUUAUAAUCAUAUAAUAAUAAGUAACAUUAGCACUUAACGUUAAUAUACAUAACAUUAGCAAUAAUAUACAUGUACGUGAAGAUUUAAAGUAAAUUUAUUUUAAAAUAUAAAAUAAUAAACAAAAUUUUUUAAAAAUUUGAAUAUUUUACCUUUAUUCAUACAAUGUGGAGAUGAUAAUGACUUUGCUAAAUUUAGGUUAUUUGAGAAUUCUUUGAUUGGAACCGCCUUUAACUAGUAUAUAGCCUUACCCCCAAACUCAAUGCAAAGUUGGCUUCAGUUUAAGGCCAUGUUCCAUGCACAGUUUACAGAACUAGGCCUGACAUAACUAUGGCUGAUCUAUCCAAAAAGAGAUUAGGCAACAACCUAGGCAAAACUUGGAGGACUUUAUUGCUAAGUUUAGGAAUGUUAAAGCUAAAAUGCAUGUCCAAUUACUAAAAAGAAAAUAUGUGAGCAUGGCCAGGAGUGGUCUAAGUCCUAAGUUAAGGAAAAAACAUUUGAGGAUAGAGAAUUUAUGGACCUUUUUAGCUUGCAACAUGUGUGUCAAAAUAUGAGUUUUUCUUCAAGAAGAACAAUAAAGAAAAUGCAUCUGAGCAUUUGAUUCAUUGAUUAAUAUAUGAUUCUUUAUUUAGAGAGCAACGUUUGAAUUUCUAUCCUUCUAAUUAAAAAAAAAAAACAAAGAAAAUGCCAACUUAGGUCAUCUUACUUUGCAACCAAUGAGGUUAACAAGGAGAAAAAGAUAGUGCUAUGGAAAAGGAUUUUGAAGUGAGUUUUGUCUAAAUUGGUGAUUAAUAACUCUCAAACAUGCCAAGAUUGGUUAAUUUAAACCAAAAUAGAAUUGUAAAAUAGGUUAUAUAGGAAAGCAAAACAAUCAAAAGUUUACUAGUAGGCAAUUUACAUUUGAUUUAACAUAAGUAGAUCAGAUUUUUGAACAUCUGCCGAAGAUAAGAAGAUAAAUUGCUUGAAGGACAUGUUUUAUCAUCAUCAGAUGUGAUUGGAAAAAGAUAUUGUAAAUGACAUAAUAAAGGGUCUCAUAGUAUUAAUAGUUGCCUUGUUAUUUUUUCUUCCAUGUGUCGAAGAUACUAUUAAAAAAGGGGAGUUAAAAUUUUCAGAAAAAGGGUAAAAACUUCAAGGGUAAUUUUUACGAUUCAAAUUUGGGGUCCAUGAUCGACUCAUAGGGCUAACGAGAGAACUCGCCUAACCCAAGUAAGCCUUUAACCAACAUCCAAAUGAUGACCAACAAAUGUAAUCCUUAAAAUGUGUAUAUAAUCUCUCUUUCUAUGUAUAUAAUCAACAAAGAAAUUUCAGUUGCCUCACAUGUUCAUGUAGGAUCACAAGUUCUACAACCUUUCUAAACAGUCAUAUAAUUUCAUAUUGUUGUAAACAUAACUGGAUGCAAAAUAUAGUUUAUUUAUCAUCCCAUGCCUUUCCUUGGCUAAAAACAAUGUAUACUUGUAGUAUAAAAUCCAAAGCAAAACAUGACACGACUAGCGGAGUGAUAGGACUCAAGGUAUAUAUGUAUUGGAUGCUUUCGCGGUGACCUACCAAGUGUGAUAGUGGCGGAGUCAAGGUUUUGCGAUUAAGGGGGCAAAGACAAUGUCUAUAAAAUAGUCAUAUUAGAAGUUCAAUGUUUGAAAAAAAUAUAAAGUAAUUUAGAUGAAAAAUAUUCAUAUGAAAAUUACACAAAUAACUCCAACUAUGUGUUGAGUACAAAAAAAAAAGAUAUUUUUUAACAACUAUUGCAUAUUAAGCUUGGACAUCUUUAAUUGAGCUCGACAAUCUUUCAUAAAGUUAAAGGCAUCUGUCCCUGAAUCAAUGUCAAAGCCUUGAAUGAUUUCCUUUUCAAUGAGAUUGAUUAACGAAUUUCUAAAAUCAUCAUCUCACAUUUUAUUACGAGUCUAUUUCUUAAUGAGUUUCAUAGCAAAAAAUGCAUGCUCUGAUGUUGUAGUGGAAACUGAAAAAGUUAAGACAAGCUGGAUCAAUUUGUCAAUGAGGAAAUAAACUUUUGAUAUUUUUGUCUUCUUUAACACUUGAUAUAGCUUAGAAAGUGUAGAUACAUUUUUCAAAGCCUGAUUAUGAAGAAUGUCAAACUUGAAUAGAACCAAUUAAUAGCUUAGAUGCAUUUUACCAUUAUUAGUAAAGUCAUCAAAUCAACAUCAAAUGAUUUGAAAUUAUUCUGAAAGUCCCAAGAUGUGCCAGGAAUGAGCAACUCCACCACAUUCUUAUUAAAUCUAAAAUCCAAUGCUUGUAAGAGUGAGUCAAUAGCAACUAGAAACAAAUCAGCUUGACAAUGGUGCUCAAUUGUGGCAUGAUCCUUUUGAAGAUGACAUUUGCCUAAUUUAUAUCUAGCCCCCAUGUCAUGAAUCCCAAUUUCAUAUCUCUCACAAAACUUCUUCACUGACACAAGCAAAGGUUCCCAACCAUCUUCUCUUAAUUGUUGGAGGUGCUUUUUAGUAAGCGAUACUAAAUGAAUUGCAUAUAGUAUGUCUUGAGACUUAAGUUGUAAACUUUUGAAAGGUCAUUUCUUAUCUCCAACAAUUCUUUCAUAAGAUGCAAGAUAAACACAAAUUCAAAUGACAUAUUGGUUUAUUAUAAAACUAUAAAAUAAAAGGACAAAAUUAUAGACUUAUUGUAGGGACAAAAUUAUAAAAUUCUAAAAAAAAUAAAGGUAUGUUAUAAAAUUAUUGUAGGGGCAAAAUUAUAAAAUUUCAAAAAAAUAAAAGUUGUUAUAAAAAUUUCAAAACUUUUAGGGAGGGCCGAGGGCCUACUAGCCCUUAUUUCCUCUACCUCUAAAGUGUCACGAACCAAGGACUCCACAAGUACGCCACCCAAAAGAUCUACUAAUCUGUAAACAAAAUAAUCCACGAGUGUAAGAUAUAAAAUCUUAAUGAGCAAAUAGAAGGAAGGGGAAAAAGCCAACCAGGGGAGUAGUUCGUAAGCAAAAUUCAAAGAUUAUGCAAUUUUAGAUAAUAUAUCAACAAUAACCUUUCAAGGCAAUCAAGUGUUCUCAACCUUACUUCCAUAAGAUAAAAUUCUACAUGAAGUCCCUAGACUCUCGGUCUAAAAUUUCUCAACCAAAUUUCCAUAGACAAGGCUUAAGUAACCAACAUAGUGCCCAUGACUUUAUAGAGAUAGACCUUUUGGAGUGUAGGGGUGGACCCUCCCCUAAAAUAAAACAUUGUUCAUGUGUUUUGAUGGCUAAAGAUUGACCCUUUAAAAUGUAAUGGUUGAUCCUCACAUCUCUAUUUUUCAUCCACAACCACAAUUUUACUCAAUGUGUUUCAAAUAUCCAAAUUGACACAUCCUCAAGGUGUAAUUUAUAUACAACAUGGUUUAUGUAAAGAGUUCAAAUGUCUAAUAGUACAUUACGAGUGACUCAAUCACAACACAAGAAUAAUGCUUCAAUAUUAUCAGCAAAUUCACACUAUAUUCCAAACAUUCGAAGUAUGUAUCCAACAUAAUGCGAUGUGGAUCCAAGUAUGAUAUUAAGCUUACAAAACGUGUUCAUCAACCCAAUUAAUCCAUCAACCAAUUAGUCCAAUAAUCCAAUACGUGCCACGACACAUAACGAAACAUACAAGGACAUGUAUCAAAACAUGUAAGGAUAAGGAAUCAAACAUGCAAGGCAUUCGAGUGAUUCCAAUAUGUAUCCACAUAUACAAAUUCUAAUAUACUAAAAUGUAUAAUUCUAAACAUGAUAUAUACAAAAAAUCCCAAAUGUGCUAAGGCAUGUCAUUCCAAAAUAUGCUAAGGCAUUUUAGCCCACACACAAAUUUGUUCUAAAUUUAGUUAGCAUGCAAUUUUCACAAAUGAUAACAAACAUUUCAACCCAUACAUAGCCAAACAUUUCAUAGCAUAAUACUCAGUCAGUUACUACCAUUCAAAAUAGAUACAAGUUAUGUAUCACACAUUUGAAAUGAAAUUUCCAACAAUAAAGGCUUGUUCCCCGUAUGAAAACUAAUAUGUAAUAUUCAUGUUUACAUAUACUAGAUUACAAAUCAACAUUUCUAAAACCAUUUGACAUCACAACAAAUCAAGUGGUUAUCCAUACUGUUGUUGAUUUUCUACGCACUCAAGUGCACAUAUCUCAAAGAUAAUAUAGAGAUGAGUAGAGUGUCGAUCCCAUAGAGAAUUGAAUUAAUCCUUAUUGUUAAUUACUAAAAUUAACACACCUUAAUUUUAUCUAAACAAUUAAAAUUAUAAAAGAAAAAUUUAAGUUAACAAACUAAAAACUAAAACUAAUAUAUUAGCAAAUUUUACUUCUAGUGAUUAACAUACCUAAGAUUAUGAUAUCCUUCAAUAUUUCAUCUGAAUAUUGUCUAUCUUUUUUAACUUAGUUUAAUGGAUUAAGUUGGUAACCUAGAGUCCUAAAUUAUUUAUAAGUCUCUAUCGAGUUUCUUAUAAAAAUACCUCUCCCAAUUAAUUUACUAUAUAUCUAUGCAAAUUAUAUUGAAGAAAAAUUCAUUAAGUUUGUGCUCUAAUUUUGGCUAUGUAUAGCUUAUAGGUGUAUGUUUACCCUAUAUGUAAAUCAAACCACCUAGUUAACUAAGUGUAUUCGAUCAUAUGCUAUUCUAUUCAAGGUCGACCUAAAUCUCCUUUAUCAAGGUUUAACCCAGGUUUUCAAUUCAUUAUAAUUGGUGGCCAGUCAACUAGAAGCAUUAAGAACAGAAUAAAAUAAACAACUUAAAUCUAUCAAACAUCAGUAAAAGAGAGAUAAAUAAUUCAUACUACGUAUUGAGAUCAAUGAUAAUCUUAGAUUAACAAUUUAGUUCCCCAUCAAGUCACACAUUAUAAUUGACUAAAAUCUAAACUUUAAAAACAAAACCAAGAAAAUAAGAUAAUACAAAAAUAUAGAAAAACUCAAGAAUUGUAUUCUUGAUUUCCAAAUCUCCUUGAAUCCUACAAAUUCUUCUUAGCUUCAAUGACUUUGUGGCUUGACUCUCAACUGUUAAUCUGGUGUUUCUUUGUUAUUUUUUUUUCUCCUCUAAAAGGUUGUUUUUAUAGGCUUUGAAGUUAGGCCAAGUUGGGUGAAGAAAGAAGUCAAUUUCAGCUAGGAUUUUCUCAUCAGACUAUGUAAGUCACAACCUUGCCUAAUUAAUUAACAGAAAUCGUAAUUACUCUAGGACUGCUACAAUGCAUCAACUUUGACAAGAUUUUUAACCAUCUUUCAAGCUGAACUGGGUGAAGUGUUAAACAUAAAAGUUGUAGCUUUUUCUCUUAUCUUUCCAAUGGUUCAAGAAUCGCUUCAUUUGGAGCUCUGUAGACCAAAAUACCAAAACAUAUGUAGUGGAAGUCUGCACCUUAAAAUAGCUCUUAUUCUUUCACUAAAAUUCUUAUUUCAUCAAAUACCUACAAAAACACAAAUAAAUUAAUAACAACCUAUCUUAACCAUAUUAACAUCAAAUUAAGCAUAAAAUUAACUAAGAUUAGAUUGACUCACCUAAAUUAACUAAUCUAAAAUAAUUAAAUCAAAUCUACUAAUUUUUAUGCAUUAUUACAAGAACUAAGCUAAAUCACUAUCAAAAUUAAGCUCAAAUAACUCUAUAUCAUAGAGUUAUCAAACCCCAAACUUAGUAUUUUUCUAGUCCUCGAGCAAAACAUAGAAAAGAACCUACCUUACGAAAAUCAAAUUCAGUUAAUGAAAACUCAAAUAAAUAUAGUUACUACUACUACUACUACUACUGCUACUACUGCUGCUGCUACUACUACUAUUACUACUACUACCAGAGAUAAAGUGCACCAACUGAAUGAUUCCUUAUAAUUUCUUCAAAAGUAUGUCUAUCAAUCAUUAACAAAAGGAAAAAUAUAGGCCUCAUUCAAAUUCGUGUUUCAAUUCUAAUGCAAGCACAUUCUCGAAUGGAUUUUCAUGUGUGUGUGUGAAAUCUUUUACCAAAAAUAUCAUGACAUCCGGAUAAGUUUAUGCCAACACAAAUUUCAAAUUAGUAUUAGAUUUCCAUAGCUUUACUUUUUAUCUCUCUUUCCACUAAUGUAGAUUAAUACAAAGCUAGGGAUCAAUAGGACUUUAUAAAGCUUGUAAUGUAUGGCAAGGGUCAAGUUAUGAUAAAGGAUAUUAAUGUGGCUCAAAUCACCCUAAGCACAUAAUUAAUCUAGGGUAUUAAUAAUUCUAGGACCUAUACAUAAAGCUCUAUUUUCCUUUUCCAAGUACACAUUUUUUUCCACAUUUGAACUUUUCUUUCAUUCAACACAUUCUUUUUCGACAAUUUCACACUCCCAAACUUAUUUUCUUUAUAUUGUAGGUAAUGGGGUUUCAUAUUUUGAACUUUUUUUUCCACAUCAACAUCACCUUUUCACCUUUUUCAACAUUUAACUCAAUUUAUAUUUCCUAAAACAAUAUACAUGCUUAGGAGUGAGGAUUGCAAAAUUGAAAAAUUAAUUUUAAGGCUAAGCUCAAUUAUUAUGUAGUUAAACAAAGAAAAGGGAACUUAGGCUCACAAGGGGUGUACUAGGGAUAAAAAUUUAAUAAGGUUGGCUUUUUAAGUUCAAAUGGUCCAAAGAUGGCCUAAAUCAUGUCCCUAACUAAGUAUUGCUUAGGAUUUCACCUCAAGAGAAAAUUAAGCAAAUUUUAGAAUUCAUGACAUAAUCUAAAGUUACAUCAAUAUAAACUUUCUCUAGAUAUUCAGAAUAAUUCAAAGUAAAAGAUAUAGUACUCAAAAUUAUGAAAAUCACAUCCUAACAAUAAUACUUAACAAAAGUAUUUAGCAUGAAUCCAAACAAAAACCUUAUUCACCAAAAGCUAAGAAUUUUAAACAACUAGUUAUCAUCAAUGGAUAAGAAAUCAUCGAAAAAAUUAGCACAACUUAACUCUAGAUUUCUAAAAUUUAAACAAAUAAUAAAUUCAUAUACCAACUAAUCUUAAAUUAUUUAUAAAUCUAGAUAAUCAUGUCAGUAAAAUUAAAUCUAAAACUUUCACAGAAUAUUUACCACAAGAAAAAUAAAUUCACCCCUCCAAAUUUAAACUAAACAUUGUCCUCAAUAUUAGAAAAAAAUAAAGGAAAGGUAAAGAAUACUCCCCUGAUUAUUGGAUGAAUUUUUUAGAAGCUCGAAUCCUCCUCGUCCUUUUGUCAUCUACGUCAUUCUCACCUUUUAGGAGGAAUUUUUUUUUAUUUUUUUAACUACAAAAAGAAAAUAAAUAAAAGUUAAUGUAGAAAUAAAUAAAUAAAAUAAAAAUAACUAAAAAGAAAAUAGGGGCUUUAUUGGGUAAUGGGUGGCCUAAAUAAACAAGAGGGGAUUGGGUUUGGUUAGUGGGUAGUGGGUAGUGGGUAUUAGGCUGUCCAAAUAAAAAAAAAAAGGGAAUUGGGUUUGGUCAGUGGGCUACCCAAUGUUGGCAGCCCAAUAAAGAGGUUAUGGUAAAUGGGCUACCCAAUGUUGGCAGCCCACAGCAAAAGGGGGCCGCGGCCUACCUCUGAGGGGAGUCGCAGCCCACUAUCAGGAAACCUAUAAGGGUGCAGCCCCACUAGCUUUUUAUUUUUAUUUUUUUGUUAAUUGAGUCGUGGCUUCGAGCCUAGUGAGCUGUUGCUCAUGUGAUUUGUUGUUCGGGAAGCCAAGGAUUACCACCUUUUUUUUUAAUUCUUUUUGAACUUUUUUUAAAGUUUUUUUUAAAUGUUUUUGAAUUUUUUUUUAAAUGUACUUGCAUAAGUAAAAAAAGUAUUAAUAAUCUAAUAAUAAAAAUAAAAAUAAAUAAAAUAAAAUAAAAUAAAGUAAGUUAGAGUGCUUGGGUUGUCUCUUAAAAAGCUCUUCUUUGUAGUCACUAGCUUGACUAUGGUACCCCCUUCUGCACUACUUUAGACGGCUCGAGACUUUCUUUAUUAACCUUGGCUACUCCGGUAAGUCCACUAUAAAUUUCAAUAUCAUCAUAAAGAUGAAUUUUGACCACCUUAAAGGUGUUCCCCCAACAUGGUCUAAGAUUCCAUGGCAAAAGAUGGAGUUGUGAAUCAAAAAAUACUACUCGUUGUCCAACCACAAAAUCAAGAUAGCUGGAAAGUGGUGGUGGUGGUUUUGUCUCAAGCGUUGGCACCUACGUUGUUGAAUGUGGUGGAAUAGGCUUACCUUUACCCUUAUUGACUAAAUCCACUUUAUAGCAACCUAUAUAGGGAUACUAAGUUACAUUGAACAAAUUAAAUACCACUUUCUUUUCUCCAACUCUAAAAGUUAUUUUGCCCAUCUUCACAUCAGUAAUUGCUUCAUUGGUAGCUAAGCAUGGUCUUCUCAAAAUAAGAGGAAUUUCAACAUCAUCUUCAAUCUCAAGCGCAACGAAGUCCACCGAAAUGUAUAAAUGCCCAACUUUAAGUAAAACAUCCUCUAUAAUCUCGAUUGGGUGUCUGAUUAUUCUGUCUGCUAAUUGCAAGGUAACUGUAGUAGGUUGUACUAUUGAAAUCCAAGAUUUCUGGUAAUAGACAAAGGCAUUAUUGAAACUUUAGCACCUAAAUCACAUAAAACUUUAGAAAUUUUAAAAUUACCAAUAGUGCAAGGAAUAGAAAAACUCCCUAGAUCUUUAAGCUUUGGUGGAAGCUUAUUUUGGAUUAUAGCACUGCACUCUUCAGUAAGUGCAACUGUCUCAAACUCUUCCAAUUUCCUCUUUUUGGUUAGGAUGUCUUUCAAGAAUUCGAGAUAAUUGGCAUUUGUUCUAAAGCUUCAGCAAAAGGAAUAUUAAUGUGUAGUUUUUUAAAUACCUCAAGAAAUCUCUAGAAUUGUUUGUCAAGUUUUUGCUUUUGAAAACGUUAAGGAAAAGAUGGUAGAGGUGUGGGUGCAGAUGGUGAUUUUUCUUUUGAAUUUUCAAUAGAUUUUUCAACCAUAAUUUCUUUUUCAGCAUUUUUUUCAAUUUCAUUUUCAGCAGAUUGCAUUGAAAUCUCAAAAUUUAACACUUGAUUACUUACCUCUUUACGUACCUCUUUUCCAUUACGGAGAGUGAUUGCCAUACAAUGUUCCUUGCCUUUUCUUCUUGGGUUAGGUUCAAUGUCACUUGGUCAGGUACCAUAAGGUCUAGUAUUUAAAGCAUUGGCAAGUUGGCCUACUUGUAUCUCAAGAUUUCUAAUUGAAGCUGCUUGAUUGUGAAUGGAGGCAUCAGUCUUUAUCAUAAAUGCAUUAGUCUUUGUUAUAAAUGCAUCAGUCUUUGUCAUGAAUGCAUCAGUCUUUGUUAUGAACGGUAUAAACAUAUCCUCCAUUAAAGGCUUUUUCUCUGGCAUAGGGGCUCUAGAUGAAAAUCCAAGAGGAAAGUUUGACUUAGCUGCGGAUGAAGACCCUUGGUUGUUAUUCCAUGACAAAUUAAGAUUAUUCCUUUAACCGGGAUUAUAAGUGUUGGAAUAGGGAUUAGUUUGUUGCUAAUUUCCAAUAAAUUGACAAGACUCAAAAUAGAUGGGACAAUUGUCAUUGGAACGUUCUUCCCCACAAAAUUCAUAUGUCAUAAAGGAGUUCUAAACAACAUUAACACUCAGUUGAUCUAUUUUCUUUGCAAGAGAGGUCAAUUGUGUAGAAACAGUGUUCAUCACAUCUAAUUCAUGAAUUCCAGCAAUAUUUCUUAUACCCAAUCUUUCAAAUGGCCAUUGAUAAUUAUUAGAAGCUAUCUCUUCGAGCAAAUCAUAAGCCUCAUCAAUGGAUUUACUCAUGAGUCCACCUCUAGUGGCAGCAUCAAUGGUAGUUCUAAAAAGUCCCAGCAAACCAUUAUAAAAUGUUUGAACUUGUAGCCACUUAGAUAAUCCAUGGUGAGGACACCUUCUUAUUAAAUCCUUAUACCUCUCCCAAGCCUCAUCUAGUGAUUCAGAAUCGAAUUGCAUGAAAGAAGUGAUAUCAUUCCACAUCUUCGCUGACUUUGCAGAUGGGAAGAAUUUUGCUAAGAAUUUUUUAGCCAAAUCAUCCCAAGUAUUAAUGGAACCAGCAGGAAGCAAAUUUAACCAACUUUUUGCUUUAUCUCUUAAUGAAAAAGGGAGAAGCCUCAAUCUUAUGGCAUCAUCAAUAACACCAUUAGCCUUGAAUGUAUCACAGAUUUUCAAGAAAUUUAUAAUAUGAGCAUUCGAAUCAUCAUUAGGCAAACCCCCAAACUGAACAGCAAUCUAAAUCAUCUGAAUGAUUGAUGGUUUAAUUUCAAAGUUGUUGGCUUGAAUAGGAGGUCUUCGAAUACUAGAGUGGAGAUUUUAUACUUGUGGGACUACAUAAUCCCUCAAAGGCUUGGUCUCUUCUCUUGUUGAUCAGCCAUUAUUUUACUUGGAGCAGAAACUUUUUCAUUUUUCCUCCGAAGUCUUCAAAAUUUUUUUUCGAUUUCUAGAUCAAAAGGAAUAAUUUUCAAAUUUCGAGCUCUUCGCAAACAACGACCAAAAGUACUUGAAAAAUUAAAGAAAAGAAAAGUCUAGAUUUAAAUUAAGAAUGCUUGGUAUUAAUAAUAUUAACAAGAAAUAAUUACAAAUGAAUUCCCCGGCAACAGCACCAAAAACUUGUUGUUCAAUUUUUUACUCACGCAAGUGCACGUAUCGCAAAGAUAAAAUAGAGAUAAGUAGAGUGUCAAUCCCAUAGAGAAUUGAAUUAAUUCUUAUUGCUAACUACUAAAAUUAACACACCUUAAUUUUAACUAAACAAUUAAAAUUAAAAAGGAAAAUUUAAAUUAAUAAAAUAAAAUCUAUAACUAAAACUAAUAUAAAAUCUAUUCGCAAAUUUACUUUAUUAAAUUCUAGUGACUACUAGACCUAAGAUUAUGAUAUCCCUCGAUACUUCAUUUGAAUAUUGUCUCUCUCUUUUAACUUAUUUUAAUGGAUUAAGUUGCUAACCUAGAGUCCCAAAUUAUUUACAAGUCUCUGUCGAGUUUCUUAUAAAAAUAACUCUCCCAAUUAAUUUACUAUAUGUCUAUGCAAAUUAUAGUGAAGAAAGAUUCAUGAAGUUUAUGCUCUAAUUUUGGCUAUGUAUGGCAAUUAGAAGCAUUAAGAACAGAAUAAAAUAAACAAAUUAAAUCCAUCAAACAUAAGCAAAAGUGAGAUAAAUAAAUUAGACUACAUAUUAAGUUCAAUCAUAAUCUUAGAUAAACAAUUUAGCUCCCCAUCAAGUCACACAUCAUCAUCAAAUUAAAGUUAAUCAUCAAAACCCAAACCAAGAAAACAAAAUAACAACAAAAAGAUAAAAGGAACCCAAGAGUUGAAUUCUUGAUCUCCAAAUUUCUUGAAUUCUUCAAUUUCUUCUUUAGCUCCAAUGAGACCUUUCUUUAAUGACUUUGUGGCUUGAUUUCAGCUCUCAAUCUGUUGUUUCGUUCUCCCUUUUAAAAGUCCUUCAAAAGGUUGUUUUUAUAGUGCUUUGAAUUUAAGCCAAGUUGAGUGAAGAAAGAAUUCAAUUCGAACUAGAAUUUCCUCAUUAGAAUAUGUGGGCCAUGGCCUACUUUCUCCAAAGCCUUGGCCUUGACCAUUUAAAUAGUAAAAAUCGUAAUUGUUCUAGGACUACUGCAGUGUUUCAACUUCGACAGAAGUUUUGACCACAUUCCAAGCCAAACUAGGUAAAGUGGUAAACAUGAAAGUUGUAUCUUUUUCUCUUAGCUUUCCAAUGAUCUAGAAUUACUUCAUUUAGAGUUCUAUAGAGAGAGUUAUGGCCAAAAUAUCGAAACACAUGCAAUGAAAGUCUGCACCUUGAAAUUGCUCUUCUUUUUCCACUAAAAUUCUUCUUUCAUCAAGCACCUGCAAAAGUACAAACAAAUCAAUAACAACCUAUCUUAAUCACAUUAACACCAAAUUAAGCAUAAAAUUAACUAAGAUUAGAUUAACUCACCUAAAUUAAAUAAUUUAAAAUAAUUAAAUAAAAACUACUAAUUUUAUGCAUUACUAUAAGAACUACGCUAAAUUACUAUCAAAAUUAAGCCUAAAUAACUCUAUAUCAUAGAGUUAUCACACUCCCAAACUUAACAUUUUGCUAGUCCUCGAGCAAACAUAGAAAACAAGUUAAAACUUAAUAUUUUGCUAGUCCUCGAGCAAAACAUAGAAAAGAAACUGACUUAUGAAAAUCAAAUUCAAUUAAUGAAAACUAAAAUAAAUAUAGUUACUACUACUAUUACUAUUACUACCAGAGAUAAAGUGCACUAACUCAAUGAUUCUCUAUAAUUUCUUCAAAAGUAUGUCUAUCAAUCAUUAACCUAAGGAAAAAUAUAGACAUAAUUUAAAUACACGUUUCAAUUCUAAUGUAAGCACAUUUUCGAAUGGAUUUCUGUGUGUGUGUGAAUCUUUUACCAAAAGUAUCAUGAUAUCCAGAUAAGUUUAUGCCAAUACAAAUUUUAAAUUAGUAAUAAAUUCCUUAGGUUUACUUUUCAUCUUUCUCUCCCAUUAAUGUAGACUAAUACAAAGUUAGGCAUUAAUAGGACUUUAUAAAGUUUGUAAUGUAUGGUUAGGGUCAAGGUAGGAUAAAGGAUAUUACUGUAGCUCAAAUCACCCUAAGCACAUAAUUAUUUUAGGACCUAUAUAUAAAGCUCCAUUUUCCUUCUCCUAGUACACCUUUUCUUCCACGUUUGAACUUUUCUUUUUUUUUUCAACACAUUUUUUUUAACAAUUCCACACCCCCAAACUUAUUUUCUUUGUAUUGUAUGUAGUGGGGUUAUUUAUCACAUUUUGAACUUUAUUUUUUUUUCACAUCAGCAUCACCUUUCCAACUUUUUUAACAUUUAGCUCAAUCAAUAUUUCCUAAAAUAAUAUACAUGCUUAGAAGUGAGGGUUGUAAAAUUGAAAAAUUAAUUUUAAGGCUAAGCUCAAUUAUUAUGUAGUUAAAUAAAGAAAAGGGAAAUUAGGCUCAAAAGGGAUAUACUAGGAUUACAAAUUUAACAAGGUAGGCUUUUUAGGCUCAAAUAGUCCAAAGAUGGCUUAAAUCAUCUCCCUAACUAAGUAUUACCUAGGAUUUCACUUCGAGAAAAAAUCAAGCAAAUUCUAAAAUUUAUGACAUAAUCUAAAAUUCACAUGAAUAUAAAUCUUCUUUAGAUAUUUAGAAUAAUUCAAAGUAAAAGAUACAGUGCUCAAAAUUGUGAAAAUCACAUUCUAACAAUGAUACUUAAUAAAAGCAUUUAGGAUGAAUCCACACAAAAACCAAUUAACCAGAAGCUAAGAAUUCAAGACAACUAGUUAUCAUCAUUAGAUGGAGAAAUCAUCGAAAAAAAUUGGCACAACUUUAUUGUAGAUUCCUAAAAUUCAAACAAGUAAUAAAUUCAUUUACCAACUAAUCUUAAAUUAUUUAUAAAAAUAAAUAUGCAUACAAGUAAAAUUAAAUUUAAAACUUUAAUAGAAUAUUCACCACCACAAAAAUAAAUUAACCCCGCCAAACUUAAACUAAACAUUGUCCUUAAUAUUAGAAAAAAUAAAAGAAAGGUAAAUAAUACUCCUUUGAUGGUUAGAUGAAUCUGGAGAAGCUUUGAUCUUCUUCCUCGUCACCAUCAUCCUCUACAUCAUUAUCCUCAUUUUCUUCUAUCUCAUUAGCACCGAUAAGAAGAUUAGGUGCCGGUGGAAAAGUAGACAUAUCCAUUCCCAUAAAAGCACCAUAAGCUCAAAAUAUGUGGUCCAUAUGUUGAUUACAUUAGCUUUGAUAAGCCAUGUGUUGCUCAAAUUAUUGUCCAAGGUUCUCAACUAGGUGCUCAAGGUUCUCAAUUUUUUAGGUUAUUGACAAUUGUUGGUGCCUUGGUCGAGAGGGUGGAGGAUGAUGUGUAAAAGAAGAACUACCCCUAGUAGCAGUUUGAGAUUGUCUAAGGAUGAGAUUAAGAUCAAUUGAAAGUUUAGGGUGCAAUAACUCCUCACUAACAUCCCAAUGUACACCAGCUUGUUUGCACAUAACUGUAAUCAUAGAAGGGAACCACAAGCCUUCACGCUUUGAUUUUGCAGUGUGAGUCAUGGCUUUUGUAAAUUAUGUGACCAAUAUCAAUUUUGCAUCUAGUCAUGAUUAAAUGAAUGAGAAUGACUCGAUCUUUUGUGACAUCACUAGUAUAUGUGGUAGGAAGUAAUUUGGAAGCAACAAAAUACAACCAUAUCUUAGAAGUUGGUUUCAUCACAGUCCUUUUGAAUGAAACUAGUGCAUUAUUGAAGAAUCGCCAUUAAGCACCCUUAUCAUAGAGUAUAUUAAUAAUAUCAUCCCAAUUCUUAUGCUUAGCCUAAUAUUAACCAUAUCCAUUGUUUUCAAUAUCACGAGUUUCAUAAAAUUCAUUGAUGGCAUAGAUCGAGAAUGGAACUAAUUUACUUCUCACAAAAACAAAACCAUUAGUAGCUUCAACAGUGUUAGAGUAAAAUUCUCUUACCAAAGGGAUACUUGCAACUGCUGGCGAGGCACAAAAUUUUUGCUAGUGGUAGCCAUCAAUUAUUGGUGGAAUGUCAAGGUGUCUAAUCAACCCUUGAUCCAGUCCUCGUUCGAGUAUUGCAAUUUUUUUGCAAGAGAACUUGUGUGUCUAGCCACAGCAUCAAUUGACACAAAUUGAGUAUGAUCAAACGUACUAGUUGUAAAACCCAACCCUAUAAACACAUGUCAUGACAUACAUGCACUGAGUAGCAUGUUAUUAUGCUAGGAAAGCACCUAAAAAUAGACGAAACCCGGUAUUAUACAUAACGAUACACUUGAGUUGAUUUAACCUCAAACUAGUUCAAAUAGGAAUCGUAUGAUGAAAUUUAAUAUUUUACAGUCCAGGAAUGACUAAAAAUGAUUGUUCGGAGUUCGAGGGUUCAUUUGGGGUAAAAUUGGAAAUUUAGAUGUUCAGGGGCAAAAUCGUCUUUUGCAACCUAAGAUAAUAAUUUGAUCAUGGAGUGAAAUUUUUGACCAAGAUUAACUAUUUGGAGUAUAAUUUAAUGAUAGGAAGUGAAAAAAUUUAUCUUUGGUGAUUUUUGGAGUGUAGGGGUAAAAUUGUAAUUUUACCACUCGCGAAUAAAAUUUGAGAUUUUGAGAGAAUUUAGAUCAAAUUUGACAAAUUGGAGAAUGGUAUGAGUAUAAGGGAUGAAAAAUAUGUCGAUGGGCGAUUUUUCAGUUUUUUGGGCAAAAAUAUAAUUUUUCACUUUUACGGGGGUAAAAAUGUAAAUUUUAAAAAUUACUCCACCGAGACUUUGGAUAAGUCUGAGAAUUUUAUCUAAGCUAUGAGUAUGUGGGACAAGUGUAUGGUGAAAAUUUGGAAACAAAUGGAUGAAAUUUUAAAAAUGGGCCAAUGGGAAAGUGACACGUGGUAUUUUUUUAAUGAUAUAAUAUUAUUUUAAUGAAAAGUCAGCCCAUUUAAACCCCAUUUUAAGUGCUGGCCGGCCAUAAGGGAGAACAAGAGAGAAAAUAGAGAGGAAAGGAAGAAAAAAAGAAAAACCAAAGAGAAACAAGAAAAUUCAAAGGGGAAUUCACGUUUUUCGCCCGUUUACGCGUCUAACGGUAAGAUUUUUUGACUUUAGAUUGAUUUCUACCUUUCUUAUACCUUUGUUUCCAUUUAGCAUGCUUGAGGAGAGAGAUCUAAAAUUGACAUCAAGGGCUGGACGAAAUUCUAGGGGAGAGAUUUUGAAAUUUUUUGGUUUUGAUUUUUCGUUAAAUUGGUAGUUUUAGUUAGUUAAAUGUGUUUAGAAAUUAAAUUGGGCAAGAAAGCAUUAAAUUUCACAAUACCCACCCUUGGCCGAAUAUGCAAUGAGGUACAAUGAUGAUGAUCUGAUUUUUAUUCUAAGAAAAAUGAAAAGAAAAUGAUGAAAAAUGGUUAAAUGUGAUAGAAAAACAAAGUAGAAAAUUUACCGAGUUAAUGUCCCAUUUUUGGCUGAAUUUUCCAAGGAGGAAAGUGAACUGAUUUUGGUGACUUUAGAAAGUUAUUGGAUGAUAUUUAAUGUUUAGAAAUGUUGGAGAGAGAAUGGGACGAUUUAGAGUUAAAAUGGAGCGCGUUAGCAAUUUAUCGGGUAAAGUGCUAAAAAUAGGUUAAUACCGCGUUUAAGCCAUUUUUGGCUAUUGCAUUUCAUACCAUGCAUUAGUAUAGGAUUUAAGUCAAAUAUAUAGUGAUUUAGCAUUAAUGUGAUGAAUUGAGUAAAUUUUUGCAAUGUGUUUAGGAGGAGAGCCUUCCGGUAAAGGCAAAGAAAUCGUACCCGACGAGUAGUUAUCGGGGCACCUAAAAAGUAAUUAGUUUGUACAAAUGGUGGGUAAACCUAUUAUUAUUGUGAAUUAUCUAGAGUUAUUUUAAAAAUGCUCUUUAUGUAUUUUAUGAAACGAAAAUGAGAUUAAAACAGGAUUUUUGAUGUUUUAGAAAUAAAUGUGACAAAAAAAUAUAUAUUGUGUUGAUUAUGAAAUUGAAUAAUUGGAGGCUGUUAAUUGUCUUAAAAAUUAUAUAGUUUCCUAUGAAUGGCUUAUGAGAUAUAAGUAUAUGUGGCAAUAUUUUGUAAGUGCAUUGGGAAAUUUAUGUAAGUUGUUUUUACUAUGCAGACUGGAUAAAUAAAUAAAAGUCACGUUAUACUGUCAAAAUUUUAUUAAAAUUGGUGGGUUAGUCACUGCAGUGACGAGUUUUCGUGGACUGCCUAUUAGAGGGGCACGAUAAACCCGGUUAUAUAGUUACUCCGGUUGUAGAGGCGAGAAGGGAAACUCCCGAGGUAGUAUUAGAGUUCACUUCACGUCGAACCCCCACGUGAAUGUGUAACUCGGCCAAUGCCAAGGAACGGC